RNAcentral lists this long non-coding RNA (79249 nucleotides) under Triticum aestivum (bread wheat). RNAcentral describes it as "long non-coding RNA (TAES_LNC024120)". The stretch from base 74673 to 74787 matches the Rfam family "MIR1120/MIR1122 microRNA precursor family". The record is from RNAcentral. Lineage: Eukaryota; Viridiplantae; Streptophyta; Magnoliopsida; Poales; Poaceae.
UUUUUUUUUUGUGACUACUGUCACAUCUUGUUUCUGAAUUAUUCUAUUUUAUAUAUGUGUGCGGUCUAGCCUGUUGACAGAAGCAUUUUCUAUCAUGGUUCCAUCUCCCACAUGUAUAGACGUGCAUCCUUGUUCCUGGAGACCAGCUCAUACAUUGUUCUUCAGUUAUGUCUCCUACAUAUAUAGAUCUACAUGCUUGUCCAUGUCUUUGUUCUUGCUUGUGAAAUUGUACAUUGCAACGAAAAAUUGUCCAAAGCAUCCUUGCCUAAACAACUUUGUUUUUUGGCCAGCAAUUUUCUUAUUCAUUUUCCUAUCUCACCAAUGCUAUUAUUCUUGCAUUUUAGUCUAUUUGCUUUUUUACUUUACCCAUACUUUCCCAUUGCAUUGCCAGUUUUUUUUUUGACAGAAAGGCUGUAGGGGAACCCCCUACAGUAUAAUUGGUGCAACAAACCCAACUUGCAAGUAUCAUGCUUUGAACCUGGGUGGGUGGGAAGGCAUCAGCCCCUUCGCACCACUAGGCUAUGCCUUAGUCUGCCAUUGCAUUGCCAGUUGUCGACGACGUGUUCAGGGACUCACAUGGCUCAAACACUGGUAUGCUCAGUCAAAAUAUAUUUAUAUUAUAUAAUUAAUUAUCAAAAGCACACUAACUGAUUUCUUCUUUCAUAUUUUAUAAUCUGUUAAUUGUAGAUAUUGCUGGUGUAGUCAUGUACAUGGGCCCAGUUGACCAUGAUACAUAUUCCCCUCUACGCAUGAGGGAAGUAGCAUUAAUCGACGCUGGCAUGCAAAUUAUCUUCCUACACAUUUUUGAAGAACUAGCUGAACGCCAUUGGAAUGAACUUCUUUCUGCUGAAGCAAAUGUUGGCUUAAUCAUGGCAACCUCGAUGAAGGUUGAUCAACUAUCCAGUAAGCUUUUUCCUUAAAAAGUGUCGUACCAUUUUAGUGUCAUGUUAUUACUAACUUGAGAAUUGAUAACAGAAACUCUUCUUAGCACGGGGGCAACAACUUUAUGCAUACAUUACUCCUCAAGUUGCCACAAUGUUCACUUUCUUAAAGGCCAGUAUCUGUUAUAUUUCUUAAUUUUACAAUAUUCUCCCACAACUAGACUAACUGUUUGCUUAUCAUUUUCUGUAGGUGUGCAUCAUCAAGUUCAUGAUGACUUGUAUUUCCGUGAUGCUAUCAAGAGUGAAGUUCUUCUUAGGAAGGAUGCCCGCAAACGAGACGACGCGGAUAACUCACUUGUCCCCAAGAUAACCGCGACUGAAGUAGACUUUCGCUCUGGUCAAUCUCCCCCCGUGAAGCAAAAUUUCAAGUAUAUAAGGGGUGGUCAGCGUCCACCAAUCAACGUCAACAAGAUGGAUCAAUUGGACUAGGAAUAAAUGUCUCAAAUUAAUAAGAAGUGUGAAACUAAAGAAUUUCAAGCCCUUGGAUUCCUAGCCUUUCCUUUCGGUUGUUGAAUUUUGCUUAAUGACUUGUUUGAUGAUGGAAUAUUGUGUAAACCUUUAUUUUGAUUACUGAUUUCCUUUUUUAUUUUGCACAUGGCUACACGUGCGUUGCACGUGCACAUUUACUAGUAAGCGAAAAAAGCACAUAAUUUUGUGUCGGCUCAAUUUCUCGAAAGUGUUCAUAGAAGUAUGGUGUGCGUGUGUACGUUUAUAGAAGUGAGCGUAUAUGCAUAUGUAUGAAUGUGUGCAUCUGCACUGUGUUCAAAUAGAGUUUAUGAGGGUGUGUGAGUGGGGUUAGAGGUGGGAUUCUGAACCUAGUGUGAGGUUGAAGGAGAAUGAGGAUGAAGAGAAAAAUAAUGUUCAACGCUAAAUUGAAGGUGACAAUGUCUACGGAUCUGAUGUAUUUUCUACUUCUGGUGUUCUUUGUAAUACCUUGAUAGUUGAUGAAUAGAUUGAAAGUUUUUCUCAAAAAAAUCUAAUUCAAGAAAAAAAUGCGUAUGAAAUUUUUUCAAGUUGUGGUGCGAGAUAUACGCUACGUACAUGGAUCCUGGUGCCACGUGGAGUAUCACACCAAACUUGUAAAUCAAUCAUGAAAAGAAAACAAAACCUCCUUCCAUGAAAAAGGGAAAAUAAACUCACCGAUUCUCACCUCCGCACAGUCCUAAUCACGCACGAACACGUAAUUGCAACCCUCGGAGCCGUACGCGCCUCGGCACGAUCGUCCUACCUUAUUACUACCGGUGCUCGUGCGGACGACGCAAGACACAAUCAAACACAAUCCUCGAAGGAGAAUACGCGAUAGAUGGCCGGCGCCGAAACGCUCCCGGGGGACAUCCUCGGCGCGAUCUACCGCCUGUGCUCCUCGCCGUACGACCGUGUGCGCGUCUUGGCGUGCCGUGGCGUCAUGGCACCCGAAGCUGCCUGCUCUCCCGCUGCUGCUCCCCUCGACAGGCAACCUACAAAGUAAUAGGGACGCGACCGCAAAGCGCGCGCCUACAGCCUGGAGGACGGCAGGGUCCUGCGCGCGCCGCUGCCGUGGUUCCCGUGGGGCAAGCGGAUAGUCGGGUGCCACGAGGGCGGCUGGGUCGCUGCUGCCUCUUCAUCCGCGCCUGCGUGCUGCGGAGGGACUUUGUAUGUAGAUGCACAAUUGCUCGAAGACGAACCAACGAGGAAAUCUCCAUACGAAAAAUCGUCUUCUCAAAGGACCCUGCCUCGAAAGGUUGUAUCAUGGCCGCGAUGACCACCGGAUGCGGGAUAGUGCUCUGCGGGCUUGGUACUAAAGAUGGCGACGGAAGGGCCACGCAGGAAUGCAGCGCGAUGGACCCAUAUCCAACCUUCCUAGACAUUGCCUUCUGCAAUGGCGAACUCUACGGCAUCGCGACUCGCGAACUGUUAUAUAGGUUCGUCAUCAGCCAAAACGAAUGGGGCGCUCUAGUGGUCAGCUUGGUCGAACAAUUAACCACCGAAAGGCCUAUGGAUGUUGCAAGGCCGUGCAUGUGGCGGAAGCUUGGAGCACUAUUGUGGAAGCGAACCAUAUCUACUACUCAUCUCCAUAUGACGAUGACGAUGUGGAUCGCCUAACAAGGUUGGACCUCGGUAGUUGCUUUGUCUGUUGUUGGAAAAGCGAUGGCGUGCACCACUCGGAGAGGAUCAUGUCACACAGAUAUCAUUACCGUGAGAAGGGUUCGGAGUAUGGUGGUAAAGAUUAUAAUAGUUGUACCUGGGUUCUUCCUCCACCCUUUUAGCUAAUGUGCCCAUGCAUGCAUGCAUCAGGCUUGUACCAGAUUAAUAUGUUAUGGGGAGCAAUGUUCAUAUUUAACUGGUUUCUAUCUGAGGAACUGCUAUAUACCAUGCUUGCAUGUAUAUGCACGUGACUUGGUACGGUGGCUUGGUAUGUUGCAUAGCCUCGAGUGAUCAUAGGUUCAUUUGUUUAUAUGUAAAAUGUUUGUAAGGACAAGUAUAGUAAAUAUUUUCUAUAACUAAUUAUCCGAUACUUGUAGAUUUCCUGUGAAAUUAAGAGGAACGUCUUUUUAAAGAGUUAUUAAGAGAAAUAUUUGACUGAAUUAAUUAAUAACCGCGUAUGUCAUAUGAUCGUAUGUUUCCUCUCAUGCUAGAACUACAUAUUUACGUACAUACAGAACCACAAAAUUAAGAGGACAUAUAGAACCAUAUGAUCGUAUGUCAUAUCGUGACUUGUUACGGUGGCUUUGUAUGUUACAUAACCUCGAGUGAUCAUAGGUUCAUUUGUUUCUGUGCAAUUAUUUGUAAGGACAAGUAUAGUAAAUCUUUUCUAUAACUAAUUAUCUACGUCUUGUUGAUUUCCUGCCAAAUUAAGAUGAAUGCCUCUUUUAUGAGGAGCUAAAAGAAAUAUGUGACUGAAUUAAUCAAUAACCGCCUAUGUCAUAUGAUCGGAUCUUUCCUCUCAUGCUAGAAGCACACAUGUACGGACAUACACAACCACAGAAUUACUACAUAUAUACGUAGUCAUGGAGGCGAUUGUGUGUGUAUGGUACUCAGAAGUCGGGUUAACAACGGGAUGAUGAACAUGAGUUGUUAGGGCGGCAAAGGAGAUGGACACAAGAAUAAAGAGCUCCAUGUGUGUGUACAAAAAGGAAAUAAUCUACUCCAUGUUUAUAAUUUGUGAAUGGCAAACAAUUUGAGAAAAUAAUAAAGAUGUGUUUUGAUUGUUUCCUUUUUGGUGCCGGUAAAAGUAGUGCAGCCUGUGAAAAAUAAAUUGUGUGCUUCAAAUAUUCUAUCAUUAGAACACUGGGUUUCAUUUUCAAGCCCAGAUCAUAACAUUAGUCAUUUCUCGUGGAGACCUUUUGUUCAGAUGUAAUAGAAGGCAUGCACAUAUGUUGUGAAAAGAAAAUUCCGUUUUUAAUGUCUAUUUUAUGAUUUUUUUUUCUAUUCAUUCCGUACCAUGUUUUCUUUUUACGGAGACAGGGACGUUAAGCCGAACUGCCCCCGCGUCGUCCGCCUGGGCGACACGGACGGCGAGCAGAUCCUCUUUUUCAGGCAGCCCUCUUCUCGAGCUUCCUUCCGUCACCGGCGGCCGACGGCGCCGGCGGGGCUCCAUUCCUGUUGCUGUUCGGCGGCCUUUGGUGAUGUGCAGGUGACGACUUACCCAAUUAGAACGGCAUCGGCAUCGUUCGUGGCUGGGCAGAUGCAGCGGGAUCGGCAUGCAGCAGGCACCUCGGCCAGGCCAUGGAGCAAAGUGAAGGGAGCCGGGACGCCACCAUGUCUCUCGAUCUGGAGAGCCCGCUCUCUGAGCCAGGCUAGCGCUGCUCCCAAGGCGCCUCUUCGGUGUGAGGGAAGGCAAGAUGUGGCGGUGACUAACUGACUAUGCAUCAGAUGCGGCGGCCGCCGCCCACGCUGCCGGCAGGAAUGUAGCGGCCGCAGUUGUCACGGCCAUCGCGUUCGAGAUCUAGCCUACGCGCUGCUGGGCACUAUCAGCCGUGCUUGGCUGCCUACAUGAACACGACAUGCGCUGGAUUACGGUCGUCGGUGAGGUUUAGGCCUUCAGAUCCAGCGAGGUUGACCACGACGUUGUCCUCCACCUGGUGUAAUCUGCUGCUAUGUGCUACGACGAUGAUGGUAGUGGCAGCAUGUGGUGAUGUUUUCUCAUGCAGAUCGGUCAUCUAGUGCCAUUUGUGAGGACGGCACGGGUACACAAGAUCGUCCCAAACUCGGGUUUUGGACGUGCAUGUGACCUUCCUCCCUCGCCAAGCUGUCGGAAUCAUGGAAAAUGGAGAAGAUAACAUAGGAUGACUUCGAUAGGAUUGGUGUUGCUCAAGUACACGGUCUCAUGUUCUAAAAACAUGUCAAUCAUGCAUUUGAAAAAUGUUAAAUGUGCAUAGAAAAAAUGUUUCGGAUGUAUUAAAAAAGUGCAAAUGUGUAUAGAAAAAAGUAGACAUCAAAAAAUAUAAGUUUCCAAUAAAUGUUAAUGAUGUAUUUUGCAAAUCUUAAACGUGUACAUAAAUCAUAUUUCUAAUCUAUAAAAAAAUAUACAAUGUAUCUGGAAAAGUAGACAUCGAAAAAUAUAUGCUUUAGAAAAUGUUAAUCAUGUAUUUAGAAAAUGUUAAAAGUGUAUAUAUAAAAUGUUAAACAUGUAUCAAAAAAUGUAUCAAAUGUAUAAGAAACAUGUACGAUGUGUAAGAAAAAAAAUAGAACUUCAACAUAUAUUAUUAAAAAUGUUAAUCAUAUAUAUGAAAAAUGUUGAACCUAUAUUAAGAAAUGUUCUAGAUGCAUACAAAAAUGUGCAAUGUGUAUGAAAACAAUAGACAUCGAAACAUUUAUUUGGAAAAAAUGCAUAAAAUGUUAAAUGUGUAUUGAAAAUAUGUUCUUGCACAUAUGAGAAAAUAAAUAAUGUGUAACAAAAUUCUAGAUAUAAAAGAAAAGGAGAUAAAAAACAAAGGAUGAAAAAAAACUAAAGAGAAAAAAGAAACAAGAAAACAGGAGAAAAACUGUGCAGUGGUAACACAAAGCGGUUAUGCGCAUCGUGGAAGGGACAGAAUCGGUUGAAUGUAUCAAUGAGACUAUUUCGGUUAAUCUGACGCUUCUCGCUCAAUUUUACUAAUUAGCCUGUCUAAUGUGCUUUAUAAGAUUGCUUACAAGGUCAUAGCUAACCGUCUGAAGCUAGUUUUGCCUAAAAUCAUCUCGGAGGAGCAAUCGACCUUUGUUGCGGGCAGAUUAAUGACAGAUAAUAUAAUCGCUGCAUAUGAGUGUCUCUAUUUUAUGAAGCGAAACAAGACGAAGAAAAAUCAACAUUGUGCAUUAAAUUUAGACAUGAUGAAGGUUUACCAUAGGUUGAAUGGGAUUACCUUCAAGCCAUCAUGUUAAAACUCGGUUUCACUGAAAAGUGGGUUGGUAUUGUCAUGGGCCCGGUAAACUCAAUCAAAUUCAUGAUUCCUUUAAGUGGGAAGAAGCUCUAGGAAUUCAAACCAUCACAAAGAAUCCGGCAAGGGGACUCUAUUUCCCCAUACCUUUUCUAUUUCCCCAUACCUUUUCUUGCUAGCAACGGAGGGCAUUUUGUGCCUUUUAAUCAAACAAUUCAUCUAAUAUGUAUGAUUUACAAGUGGCUACUUUAGUGCCACCAGUAAAUCAUCUAUUAUUUGUAGACGACAGCCAAAUGUUUUUCAAGGAAAAUGGUGUGGGCGCUAGCGAGGUGAACCAUGCUUUGAGAAUUUAUUGCAGAGCUUCAGGUCAACGGAAAUACCCAGAUUAGACUAAAAGUAGAAGUAAAACAAGUGCUCUUUUUAGAUGUUCCCAUCAAGACUCAAGGUCCAGACAGAUUUCCAGCUCAUAUUUUCAACGACACUGGGAGGCUUGCAUUGCGGUGGUAACAAGAGUGGUUAUGCGCAUAGUGGAAGGGACAGAAUCAGUUGAAUGUAUUAAUGAGACUAUUUUGGUUCUGGUCGUUGAGGUAAAGAAAAUCCGACGUUUCUCAAUCAGUUUUGCCUAUUAGUUCGUAUGAUCCGCUUCUAUAAGAUUGCUUCCAAGAUCAUAGCUAACCGUUUGAAGCUACUUUUGCCUAAUAUCAUCUCGGAAGAGCAAUCAACCUUUUAUAUCAGGCAGAUUAAUGGUAGAUAAUGUAAUAGUUGCAUAUGAGUGUCUCCAUUUUAUGAAGCAAAACGAGGCGGAGAAAAACCAGCAUUGUGCAUCAAAAUUAGACAUGAUGAAGCUUUUUGAUAGGUCGAAUGGAUUACCUUCAAGCCAUCAUGUUAAAACUUGGUUUCACUAAGAAGUGGGUUGGUAUUCUCAUGGGCCUGGUAAAUUCAAUCAAAUCCCCAGUCCUGUUUAGUGGGAAGCUCUAGGAAUUCAAAACAUCACGAAGAAUUCGACGGGGGGCUCUAUUUCCUCAUAACUUUUCUUGCUAGCAGCGGAGGGUAUUUUGUGCCUUUUAAAAUCAAACAAUUUAUCUAAUAUGUGUGGUCUACAAAUGGUUGCUUUAGUGCCACGAGUAAAUCAUUCAUUAUUUGCAGACGACAGCCUGAUCUUCAAGGCAAACAGUGUGGGUGCUAACAAGGUGAACCAUGCUUUAGGAAUUUAUUGUAGAGCUUCAGGUCAGCGGAAAUACCCAGAUUAAACUAAAAGUAGCAGUAAUAUUUCUUCACCAGAAUUUUACUGUUGACACGUCAAAAAGGCACAGGAAACACCACUGCCACGCCCAAACUCGCCAUAGAAGACCCUUGAGGAGGCCGAUGGCGCGAGCAUUGACGAACUCGGUGGCUGAAGCCCCGAGCAUACAGGACAUGUGCCAUGAGGUUGCUUCCAAUGUAUUGGUGCUUACAUGAGGUGCUAAGCAUAUUAAAUACUUUAGCAACUAAAGACCCCAAUGCAUAGGUGCUUAACUUGUUGGUGCUAAGUAUCCUUUAUUUAAUGAUUUUACAACUAAAGUUCUUCAUGCAUUGGUGGGAUUCUUCCAUUUAAGUGUUUUGCCUAGGUUCUCGCGCUUGGCAUUGUUUCUUCCCGGGGUCACCACACUCAUCUCUCUUCUCUUAAUUACCUUGCCACAUCAGAUUUUUUGCCUACAUGACAGGCUUAGCACCUGUACAAGGUGGAGCAUUGGGAGAGGCCUGAGGGCAGGCUGCCCUUGCGGCACACUCCACCGAUCGAACAUUUAAUGCCCAAGCAGGCUACGAGGCGUAGCCCAGCUCAAGCCUACGAAGGAGGCCAUCAUCACCACGACCAGCGGGGACGAGCGACGUGACCAAACUCCAGCGCGACCCAAGACCAACGAUGGAUAGUGUGGCGUGUCACAUAAAGCAUGAGUACUUGAGCACCUGACAUCUCGCAUCCGCCAUGUCUUCCUGUGUUCUUUUCCAUGGCAUUGUCGCCAUUGAUUCCGUAGGAAGCGAGUGGGGAUGUGAAACACCGGCGAGGGGCGAGCGUCGGCGGUGACUGUUGACGAUGAGGGUGGCGGACGCGCGCCGCGCGAUGCGGAGGAGGAGGCAGCCGCCAUGUAUCCAUAAUGUUUUUUCUUCUCAAAUUUUUACGGGUGGGACGAGAAGGAGGAUGAGGAGGGAGCUCGUCCGACGGCUAUGCGGGGACUAAUCAAACUGCUAGCGUGCGACUAGCCAAAAUUUGGGCCGGCCGGCCCGCGUCACUCUUAGUUCUUUUUUUAGCACUUCUUUGUCGUUUUAACAAAAUCUUGCAGCAACACGUGGGCCAUCGUUAGUUGUGGCAAAGGGUUUGCCAAUUCUUCAUGCUUAGCCCACGAUCGGAUUCGGCGAGGCUAUCACGGGCGACGUCUAAAUUCUGUAGAUCAUCCUAGUGUACACUUGUUCUCCAUCAAUUUUUUUUUUGAAGUUCUACAUCAUUUCUGAUCAUAACCGAUGCCAGCUCCGGCUCCCGAUGCUGGCGUGACCGAGACGACUGCUGCUGGACAGACUCGGCCCGUUUCCAGGGCGACGCAUCAUAUCAUAUCACAGGCCGCGAUUUGCCUCCACGUGGGUGGAGCCCGCCACAGCCCGCUUCGUAGUCGCUGUGUUUUUUAUAGUAAAAAAAAACAUGGUUCGCUGUUGCUCCAGCGGAACGCGAUCGGCCGCUGGAUUCCGGCGGUGAUACGCCGGCGGCCUGGAAAUCAGGCGCCUGAUUUGAUUUCAAUUAUGCUUUCCGCAUCAUCUCACGCUGGCGGAGCGGAGCGGGAGGUUCAUGCCAACUCCACCACGCGAACCUAAAUGGACGUCCGGUUUGGCCGAUUUUUAUCUCUUUAGGUGCUGAUGGAUUCAUCCGUGUCCGUGUUUCUUUGAUGGGUCGUGGGUGCGUUCAACGCGCGGCUGCACCUCAAAACCUGUUCAGAGUGGACGUGAAAAAAAAAUUAAAAACUUAAAUGAAAUGACUAAAAAAAUAAAUAAACGCAGUUAAAAAAACAUAAAACAUAUAUAGGGGUCACGGUCACAAAACGGCCCAGUUUUUCAGUCCACUUAAACGGCCCAGUUUCAUAAUUAACAUAAAACCAAAAUAAAAAAAACGCCCCCCGCGCGCUCCUGCCACGCCCAUCGAUGCCGUGGCCAUCGCCGUCGCCGUCUUCACUGGCCGCCGGUGUCAUCGUCGUCGCUAAAAAGGUCGACGUAGUCCAGCGGCGUCCACAGGUGGGUCGGCGGUCCGUGGUGCACGGGUGCGGCGGGCUGGAAGAUGGCCAGUGCUUACACCACCUCCUCCCGAGGCGAGGCCUCCCGCUCCGGCGAUCGCGGCGGCGUGGGGCACCAGUUCACGGCCCCCAGGGCGGCCGCCAUCUGCUUAGCGAAGCACCACCGGCGGCUGCUCCACCACCUCCUCCUCCGGCGCCAUCUCCAGCUUAGGGAUGGCGACGUCGCCGGCCGCGGAGAGGGCCAUCGUCUCCUCGAGGUCCGCCCAUUGGCGCUCGUCGUGCGUGUGCUUGGAGUCCUCCAGCACACGCGCCAUGAGCCGGGCCUCCUCCUCCGCUGUCAUGCGAGGAGGCGGGGAUGGCGAUGAAGAUGGCGACGGCGAUGGCGUGGGCGUCAGGCCGCGCACCCGCAUACGCCCGCGUGCCUGGGGAGCUGCUCGGGGCUCACGUGGCCGCCGCGGUCCCAUCGACGAGCCGGCGAAGAACGACGCCCGCCGCACGUCGUGUUCAUCGCGGAGCCAAGUGUCCCACAAUGGCGAGUCGGGGGCGUACCUCUCAUAGUAGUAGAGGUCGUCCGGGAGGAGGCGGCGGCGACGCUGGAUCUCCUGGCGGCGCGCAUGGCCGCUCGGCGGGACGGGCGAGAUCGGCACGCGGUCGGCCGAUAGGUGCCAGUUAUUGGGGAGGUGGACGUCGCUCCAGGGCAUCAACGUCCUCAUCUCCCAAUACAGGCGGCAGACGGCCGCCUUGCUGUAGUACCGGUCGCGCUCGCCGGCGGCCGUGGGCGCGAUGGAGAAUGCGGGCGACGCGGGGGGAGGGGCGACGUGGUGGCGAUGGCGUCGCGGGCUCCUCCUUCUUCACCGAGUCGCGGCAGCGUCCCGACGAGGAACCAGCCUCGCGGUCGUGCUUGCCUUUGCGGCCGUAGUUCCAGAGGCCCAUGGCUACGGGCGGCCGGCCGACGAGUUCUUGGGUAGGGUUUGGGUUUGGCACUGUCGGGUUUCAAGGAGGCCGCGGGGUGGCGUGGGGCAGUGUGGACGACGACCGUCCACGCUUUCCACUUAAAGAAGGACGACGACCUUUCGAUGUGCGGAUGACAGGUGGGGCCGCCCGCUCGUGCGUAUUGAUGUGGGCGGGUGGGAGGUAGGUGGCCGCCUGCCACGCGGCCCCGACACGGACGAGGCGCGCGUUCGUUUGGUGUCCGUCGCGGCCUAAACUUGGCGCAAGUUUGCAUUCGAAAUGGGUCGACCUGGACAUAAAACGGACGAAAUAGAUUCGAAUCGUCGCGCGUUGGACCGUUACGUUUGUUCGUUUUAUCUCAAAUAAAUAAGGCCGGACAAAAUAGGGUCAGCGCGCGGUGAAGUUGGCCUCACAUCCACACGACACGGGACGGACGGGCCGACGGGCGGGCCACACCGCCAGGCGAAAGGCAUCGUGCGCGUCUCGAGCGAUCCAGUCUGCAGGCCGCGCUGCCGGGGCCGCCUUCCCCUCCCUCCCUGUUUCCUUCUCAGAGUAUGCGGAUGCGGAUGCGACGCCCCAAACACCGAACAGCGGUUUCGCUCCACCAGUGCCUUCGCAGCGGUGCGCCGGCUGGCGGAUUCGAAUUUUGGAGAUUUGUACUCCACUCCUUCGGCACCUGUCUAUCUGUUUUCGAAUUUUGAGCCUACUUACGAAAAGAUUUAGAAACCCUGAUUCUUUGAUGUAAAUUGUCUGAUCCGUGGGGUGAAAAAUAAUACGGGUAGUCGAAAAUUUAACACCGGCGUAAUUUCAUCGGGAAUUACGUUGCACGCGGCUCUAAAGUUUUUAAUCAAGUCGUCUGUGGUCAUUUCGUCAAUGUCAAGAUAUUAUUGUGUCGGCUCAGUAUCUCGAAGGUGCUCGUAUGGGUACGGUGUGCGUGCAUGUUUUCUUUAUCUGCAAUAACUAUUUCAUGUGUAUAUACUGCUCCCUCCGAUCAAUUUUUAUAACACGUUUACGCAAUUCAGACAACACCCAAAAUAGUUGAAUGUCAACUGUCUAAAAUGUCUUAUAGAAAAGAACAAACCGAGUACCAUAACCUCUUAUUAUACUAGCGCAGAUCUAUACAACUUAUAUUAUGUAUUUUUUUAAUUAAAUUUUGGUAAGAAUUAGUAUGUCAUUAUAUCUUUCACUGUAUUCCUAUAGAUAGUGCCAAUCAAAUUGGUCCAAGACUUUUGUACAUUUAUUAAUAAGAUAUGUUGUAAACUCUCGGUUUCUAAUUCUUUUGUUAAUCACGUUGCCUACGUAAUUUUAUUGUGUAUAUUUGUGUAAGCCACGCUCUUAUCUCCUCACCAAAAUCUAGAGAAGAGAUUAUUUUAUGUGCAUCAUGUCAUCGCCCCUAGCCCACCUCAUCUUCCACUGGCCUCAUUGGUGUGAGCAGUGGCGGAGCUUCUCAGGGGCCAACCUGGGCCGUUGCCCCCCCAGCCCAUGAAUUUUUUCUGAAAUACCCCUUAGUAUUUGGCCCAUAUCUCAAGCAAAAUCAGCCCAAAAUACAUAUUGUUUGCCCCCCAGCCCAUUGCCCCCCCUAGAUUUCAGCCCAAGCUCCGCCACUGGGUGUGAGAGUGCGGAGAGUUCUCGAUCUAUCGUAUGGAGCAGUCAUUUUCCCUCUUUGGUACGUUUACUAACAUGGUGACACUUCUUUGGUGGCAACACUAGCGCCAAUCUAAUGAAUAAAGUUCCAUUUUUUUUGCGGGGAAUGAAUAAAGUUCCAUAUGGUUGGUGUUUGUUGCAAUGGUGUAAAUGGCUCGUAGAUUCUUAGGCGCUUCUCAAUGCUUCACCUUGUACAAGUGCUACGUUUGCCAUGUGGUGAAAAAGAUGACGUGGCAAUGUAAUUAAGAGAAGAGAGAUGACUUUGAUGCCCCAGAAAGAAACAAUGCCAAGCAGGUGGCCUAGGUAAAACACUUAAAUGAAAGAGAUCCAUCAAUGCAUGGAGAAGUUUAGCCGCUAAAUCAUUAAAUGAAUAGAACUUAGCUACAACAAGUUUAAGCACAUAUGGGGAUUUUUGUUGCUAAAUUCUUUAAUAUGCUUAGCACCUCAUCUAAGCACCGAGCAAUGCUACAUCUAAAUAAGGUUCUUACGUGAAUUAACGUAAGAGUUGGGAUGACAAUUUCAGUUUGGAGGAAAUUAGGAAGGGGGCCCACCCAAUUGAGGAUGGGGGGCCUCUGCGUACAUGUAGCAUUUUUCUAAGCACAUGUGCGUUGAAAGAGGCCUUCCUGUCUUCUCUAGCUGGUGAGGUUCGGGUAUCGAGCUGGCUUCCCUUUAUAGUUUGGUCCUUUGACCUCCUCUCGUGACGUUGGUGUGGCCUCCAAUGUCAACGUGAGGUCCGUAAGCUUUGUUCAAGGUUGUGAUCUUCAUAUAUGUGUAUCUUCUCAUGGCAACGGUUUUGAUGGUUUCUUUUAAAUAUGUUGGUUUGGUUUUUUUUUUGAAAAUAGGGUUUAAAACCCACGGUCUCUACAUCAAUUGAUGUAUACAUCAAUUUUUAUUAAUUAUUCAACAAAGAUCUGAUAAAAAUAUACAUCAAGCCACCCGAAGUUACCACUCACACUUAUAAACUACAUAAUAUGGAAUGCUCUCACUUUUCAUAUCUCAAACCGAUGUCGUCAACUUCCAGACUGUAACCAUUGUUGACGUUAGCCAGGGAUGGAGAUGCAGCAACGGCAACUCAAAUUCGGAUGAAGAUGAUUACUAGCAAUAAUGCAAUAAAUGUUGAUUCAGGGUACUCCCUCCGUCACAGUUUAGAAGGCAUAUUUAAAUUUGCGUGUGUUUCGACAAUAGACAAGGUUUAGGGCGCAUUGAAUUUAUUUCUAAUAGCUAAUCAGUAUUCCGAUAUACUAUUUUUAUAUGCAUGAGUAGUGUGAAUGCUAUUUUUUAGCUCAUCUCACAACCAGUAGAUAACCACCUAGGUCCGAGAGAAUUUCCAAGCGCGCCUUCUAAACCGUGACGGAGGGAGUAAUUGCAAUUAAUUUAAUUAAUGAUGGCUGCAAGAUUAACUGUAAAUAAUGCAAUUGAUAUUGUUUCCAGAUAAUUUGCAUUACAUUUAUUCCAAAUUAACGGUCAUGUGUUUGAUAAUAGCAUUACCUCUCUCUCAGUUUACAGGGCGUGCGCGUGCCCCUAGAUCGUUAAUUUGACCAACUUAAUACAAGUCAUAUAUUACAAAAAAUAUACCAAUAUAAACUUUAGAUGCUCUAUUUUCAAACCGUAUAAUUUUUGUGUUAUAUAGUUUAUAUUAAGAUAAUAAAAUUGGCAACCUAGGUAUAUGCGUAGGACUUAUAAAAUGAAACGGAGGUAGUACAGUACUAAAGCAACAUGAUGCGUUGGAUAUAGGUGGUCGAAUAACUGAGAUCAUUAGUAUUCUAUCCGUCCCAAAUUACACGUCGCAGAAAUGGAUAUAUCUAGAAUUAAAAUACGUUUAGAUAUAUUUAUAUCUGCAACAAGUAAUUCAGAACGGAGGGAGUAGAAUAUAUCAUAUCAUCCCGGGCCGCUUGGUCUGUUUAUUUUGUUUGGUUUGUGUUGUGUGUUUGCUGUUGCGUGCACCGCACCGAACCACCGCCAGCCCACCUCCACCCUCGCAACGGUCUGGUCGCCGGAGUGCUGUCGGAGAAGCAAUAAGUAGCCAGCCAGCCAGCACAUGGUCCCGUCCUCCCAAACGGCUACUUUCUCGCCCCUUCCGCCGCCUUCCGGAACCUUGCUCCGGCUCCGGCACCUGACCAACCAACCUCACCAUGCCGCGCCGGCGCCUGUGCCGCGCGGUCCUCGCCGUCGCCGGAGCGGCCUACCUCGCCUUCCUCCUCCUCUUCGAGCUCCCGUUCUCGUCCCCGUCCUCGUCGUCUUCAGCCUCAGGAGCGCUGACCACCCACCGCUCCCGCCGCCGCGAGCUCGAGGCCUCGGCCUUGGCCUUCCCCUCCUCGCGCUUCUCCCCCUCCCGACCCGCGUUCCCCGCGGCCGUGUCCCCCUCUCCGUCCUCCCCGCCGCCGCUCCCCAUCUUCUCGUCCCUCCUCCUCCUCCCCCGGUCCAACGCCAUGGCGACCCCCUUCGACGGCGCCGCGGCCGACGCCUUCUCCGCCGCAAAGCCCCAUCUUGCGCACCUCCAGACCGCCGCAUCCGCGUCCGCAUCCACCACCUCCCCGCCCCCGUCCUCCCCGAUCUGCCCGGCCUCCAUCUCGCUGCACGCGGACAAGCUCCCCGCCGACGGGGUCCGGACGGUGGAGCUGCCGUGCGGGCUGGCGGUGGGGUCGCACGUGACGGUGGUGGCGCGCCCCAGGCCCGCGCGGCCCGAGUACGACCCCAAGAUCGCCCAGCGCAAGGACGGCGGGAAGACGCCCCUCAUGGUGUCGCAGUUCAUGGUGGAGCUGGUGGGCACCAAGGUGGUGGACGGCGAGGCGCCGCCCAGGAUCCUCCACUUCAACCCCAGGAUCCGCGGGGACUACAGCGGCAAGCCGGUGAUUGAGAUGAACAGCUGCUACAGGAUGCAGUGGGCGCAGUCGCACCGCUGCGAGGGCUUCGCAUCCCGCCCCGCCGAGGAAACUGGUGAGCUUCAGAUUUGCCUGCUUAAUUCGUUUAGCUAGGUUGAAUCCAUGUUGAUUUAAUUUGACUUCAUCUUGCCAUCUCGUGUUCUUCCCUUGUCUAAGGGGAUUGGAUUGAAGUUGGUAACUAGGAAGGGAUUCCAUCAAUUUCAGUGAUCUAAUUGUGUGUGUACUAACAGCGUAGAAAAAAGUGCAAGCUUUGGAAAGAAAUUUCCAGAGAGGGUUCGAUUUCUUUUGCUUUAUGGAGAAUGUUUCUGAUAGUGAUUGUGCUUGAUUUGUCUAAUUGGUGGAAUAUUAUUAUAAGAAUUAGAGAAGGAUGGACCUGCAACCGUGUUUUGAGGAUUACAGCAAUGAUGUGAGUUUGACUUCAACCUGGCAGUGGGUACUUGAACUCCCUGUUCCCAUUUCUUCUUAGCCAAUCACUGACGGAAGAUCACAAUAAUUGAGUGCUUAAUUAGUUAUGCAUAUCUAGUCUGAUUGUUCCAUUAGUUGGUUGCGACCAAAUUAGUUCAGCAAUUAUUCUCAUUGUUUGGAGAAGCUGCAAGUGAAGCUUCUCUAAUUUGGGUUAAUAUUCUGAGGAAGUAGGCAUUUUCGUCGUUCAGCAACAUAUCCAUUCCCUUUUUCCCAAAUCAUUCUAAAAUGAGUUGAAUCGCACUUUUUUUACUUCACUCUAAAAAUGGCAUGUUGACCUGGUUUGAUCUUUCAGUUGAUGCUCAACUCAAGUGUGAGAAAUGGAUUCGGGAUGAUGACAACAAGUCGGAGGAGUCAAAGAUGAAGUGGUGGGUGAAACGUUUAAUUGGUAGGUCAAAGGAUGUGCACAUCAGUUGGCCAUACCCAUUCGGAGAAGGCAAGUUGUUUGUUUUGACUCUCACAGCUGGUUUGGAAGGUUACCAUGUCAAUGUUGAUGGGAGGCAUGUCACUUCAUUUCCUUACCGCACUGUAAGUUCGUCGGUUGAAAAUCCUCAAUCACAAAUCUGGUUCAAUUACAUGAGUAGCCUCCUGAGAUCUGCAUAUCUGAUUUUGGUGGUCUUUACAGGGUUAUACUCUUGAGGAUGCAACUGGGUUGUCUAUCAAUGGAGACAUUGAUAUUGAGUCAAUUUUUGCUAGUUCUCUACCCAGUUCACAUCCUAGUUUCUCCCCAGAGAGAUACCUUGAAAUGUCGGAGCAAUGGAGGGCCCCGCCGCUACCAACUGAACCCGUCGAGCUUUUUAUUGGCAUUCUGUCAGCAGCGAGCCAUUUUGCCGAACGUAUGGCUGUGCGCAAGUCAUGGAUGAUGUAUACAAGAAAAUCAUCUAAUGUUGUAGCUCGGUUCUUUGUGGCUCUGGUAAUUACUUGCUUUCCCCGUGUUUUUGCUUGUUGUUUACAUAUACCAAACUCUGACCAAAUUAAGCAAUUUCACAGAACGGUAAAAUGGAGGUCAAUGCAGAGUUGAAAAGGGAGGCAGAGUUCUUCCAAGACAUCGUCAUAGUGCCUUUCAUGGAUAGUUAUGAUCUUGUAGUUUUGAAGACCAUUGCCAUUGCGGAGUAUGGGGUAAGUAAACUGAAAUAUGUUAGAUAGCUGCUUAUGUUCUGCCAUUUUGUCUCACGCCGUCAGUUUUAUUGACGUUUCUACACUGAUUAAUGGUCAUGUGUAUCCAGGUUCGAGUCAUCCCGGCAAAAUAUGUGAUGAAAUGUGAUGAUGAUACAUUUGUUAGAAUUGAUUCCGUACUGGACCAAGUAAAGAAAGUUAAAAGCGAUAAGAGUGUGUAUGUGGGAAGCAUCAACUACUACCAUAGACCACUGAGAUCUGGCAAGUGGGCUGUGACUUAUGAGGUAAAUUGCUGUCCUGUACUACAGAACCACCAUUCAUCAUCUAUAUUGCUUAAGAAAUGUGAAAUGAAAAAUACUAGCAACUAGCACACUCGUGUUUCCGCUUACUGCCAAAUGACAAGCAACCAAUCACCAACCAGCACCCGGUAUGCUAUCUGUGAAAACCAUUAUGUGUGUUUGCUGUGCAAAUUAGCAGGCACAUCAAAAGCGCAAAUCUUGUAGUGAUUUAUGAGGAUAGUUGCUGGAAUGAUUAAAUAAAUAUUGACAGUCGACAAAUUGUUUUACGUGGAAAAACUCUUUGUGCAAGAGGAGUAAAAACUAUGGGAUCAACAAAGUUCAGUUUUAAGUUCUUGUACUAAUGUACAUAUACUUGAAUAUGUGCAUUAUAGAAAUAACUUGGCAUCAAAAGUGGAUUUUACAUUUCUCUGGUGAGUCAAAGGUCUUGCGUUCAUAUUUUAUACUUGGAACAUGGAUAUAUAAUCUUGUGACAACAAAAUCCGGUGGUUUGUACUUUGUGCUGUCCUUGUUGGCCUUCCAUCUUCCUGUUUUUGGUAUAUCGAAAGUAUAGUUUUCUUGUUUCUUUCCAGGAAUGGCCAGAGGAGGCUUACCCAAGUUAUGCCAAUGGGCCUGGCUAUGUGAUCUCAUCGGAUAUUGCACGCUACAUCGUAUCUGAAUUUGACAAUCAGACGCUUCGAGUAAACAUAUCUAUCUCUUGGAAGCUAUCCAAUUCCACUGACUUUUACUUGCAUCGUGCAGAAGUGGUGAUGGCUAAAUUGUUAAUUCUUUAUUGUGCAGCUAUUUAAGAUGGAAGAUGUCAACAUGGGGAUGUGGGUGGAGAAAUUCAACAUCACUCGUCGGCCGGUAGAGUAUCGGCAUGACGUCAGGUUCUACCAGGCCGGUUGCUUCGAUGGUUACAUCACCGCACACUAUCAGUCCCCCCAGCACAUGAUCUGCCUGUGGAGAAAGUUGCAGUCCGGUAGCACCCAUUGCUGCAACGUGCGAUGACGAUGGCGAAAAUGUGUUGCACCGUCGGUCCGAGAGGAAGAGAUGAUCGGCUCGCAUGCACAUGCAUAUCAAAUGUGGAAAUCAUCAGCUGCGCCGAUGGGCCGUCCGUUUGACAAAGUGCUCUCUGCUGGAUUUAUCAUAUCAUUCUUUCAUUCUUUUGGUCGGUGGCCUGUUUCGAGCCGCUGCUGAUUCUGACACAUGAAGGAUGGGCUUGGGAUCCUUUUGACGCCUGUUGAUGUUUAGUCCCGUCAAAUUUUCUUGACAUAGGAGCUUUUAGGUGCUUGGGGGUAUAUUGCCCUUUGUAUAGAAAACUAGUUUAGGAUUCCAUUUAUGAUAUGUGGCAUUUUAUUUAUUUAUCCAGAAAUGAAACUUAUGGUAAGAACCGAACUGAAUAGUCAGCUCACUAGUCAUCAACAGUCUCUGUUGAUUGGGGGCGUGGUGGCUGUGUGCAUCGAUGCGAUGCAGAGGCCGGGCAUUUGCUUAGUGUGGUUGUAUUACCUCGACAUAUCGAUUGAAUGAAAAUGUCCUUCGGCAAAAAUAAAAAGGGUAACCCGAACAUACAGGUUUCGAAAUGACGAGAGGCUGCCGUUGCACGUUUAUGGAAGGACCAAAUGCUUUGUUGCGCUGAACCAUACAUACCAAGCAACAAUAGUGUCAGGGAAAUGGCCAAGCAACAAUGGUGUCAGGGAAAUGGGUAUAACUUCACAAAAUGAAAAUCGCUGUGUUAGCGAGUAAUCUCUAUCAAGUAAUGUCAACAUAACAAAAGCAAAGGACCGCACAGGGGCGAAGGGAAUUGGAGUAGACAUGCUGCAUCCUCUUUCUUUUUUUUGCUAGAUAGAUUCAACACCAGAUGUUUAACUUGUUGUAACUCACAGAUCCUUCUAAUCAUCAAUAUUUUCUUCUCAACUCAAAAUUUAGAAUGCUUAGAUUGUCAAGAAGAUUCUCUAGAUUGUAAUAUGUGCUGCGAGAGUUUGAGAAUAAAAUAUCAUGAACAACAUAGCCAAGACUUAAGAUUCAGGAACCACAGUACUGAAUGGCGAACCUCUCUGCAAUUACCAGAGUCUAGUCUAGUAUAUCAUUCGAACACUUAUGUUGUUCUACACCCCUUUAAGAAAGAGAAGGGAGUUAUCUUCCCCUAAAAGAAGAACGAAAGAACAUAAAAGAAGAGAAAGAAAUAAAAAGAAAAAUAUAAGUAUAUAUUGUAAACUGAACCAUUUCCUUCAUCGGUGACAUAUGAGUUGUUAGAUCAUCUCCAGCCGUUGCGCCCCCAAGACGCGCCAAAAACCGCCGCUUGGGGGCGAGCCGGCGCUAUUUUANNNNNNNNNNNNNNNNNNNNNNNNNNNNNNNNNNNNNNNNNNNNNNNNNNNNNNNNNNNNNNNNNNNNNNNNNNNNNNNNNNNNNNNNNNNNNNNNNNNNNNNNNNNNNNNNNNNNNNNNNNNNNNNNNNNNNNNNNNNNNNNNNNNNNNNNNNNNNNNNNNNNNNNNNNNNNNNNNNNNNNNNNNNNNNNNGCGCUUUCAGCCCAUUUUCGGCGCUGGAUUGGCCCAAUUUCCGGCACGUUGAUGUUAUUGUGAGUUCCUGGCAUACCAAAGAAAGUGUGCCAAAUCCAGAGGUCCUGUGUGGCCACUACCUCAAGUAUCACACUGCAAGCUCCUUUGACACCUUUGUACAUCCCCUGCCAAGCAAACAGGCAGUUCUUCCAUGCCCAAUGCAUGCAGUGGAUGCUUCCAAGCAUACCAGGAAAUCCUCUUGCUUCAUUCUGUGCCAGGAUCCGAGCAGUGUCUUCAGCAUUGGGUGAUCGCAAGUACCUCGGUCCAAACACUGCCACCACAGCCCUGCAGAACUUGUAGGUGCACUCAAUGAUCGUGGACUCGGCCAUGCGCCCAUAGUCGUCGAGUGAAUCACCUGGAGCCCCGUAUGCAAGCAUUCUCUGGAUUGAGGUGAAUCCAAGUGUGCCGGUGCAAUCCUUCUUGCACCUGAAUUAGUUGUCGUACUCCCCGAGUUCAUUGACUAUCCCGAGGAAAAGAUUUCGGCCCAUCCGAUAACGGCGCCGGAAAACUUUGUCGCCGUGCAAUGGAGCAUCGGUGAAGUAGUCAGAGUAGAACAUGCAAUAGCCUUCGAGCCGAUGACGGUUCUUUGCUUUCCGUCGCCCCGGCGCUGAGCCGCCUCGCCUCGGCUUUGCAUCGCCGGCAAGCAAGCCGGUCAGGGUGGCGAGGACCAUGAGGUGUUCUUCGUCCUGGGCGGCGGCGUCGGCUUCCUCCUCGAGCAACGCCGCUAGCACCUCCUCGUCGUCGGAGUCCAUCGCAGCCGGGGUAGGCACACGUAGCGGGCGUCGUGCGCAGACUCGUCGCCGGGCGCCGGAGCGGCGAGGGAAACUCGGGGAAAGUGGGGGGAGAAGGCGUCGGGGGGAUCUUUCUUUGUUUCACGGCGAGGAAUGGCGAGAUAGCGGCGACGGCGGCGGCGGAGAGGUGGCUGGCGACGCCGGGAUCGGCAAGAUGUCGGGGAAGGAGAGGGGAAAACAGGGCGAAUCAGUGUGACUUUUCGCCUGACAGUGGGGACCCGGGCGAUUUUCCCUUCCGCCGGCGCCCCCAAGCGUCCCCAGUGCGCCGGGUUCGGUCUGAGCGUGCCGGGUCAGAAAAAGGGCCGAUCCGGCGGCGCUACUGGGCCUUUUUUCAGUGCCGGCGCUAAAAAAAGCGGCCUGGGGGGGCAUCUUGGGGGCGUGGCUGGAGAUGCUCUUACAUAUAACAUAUCCAUGUCCAAGCUAUAUAUAGUGCCACAACAAGAAGAUUAGGUCAACAUCCAACAAACGAUUUUUAUGAGGGCCCUAUGUUACUGAUGGCCAUUUUGCAAAACAAGGAAUAUAAGGUGCACAACACCUGAGCUCUUGGGAAGCGCUGAUAACUUGCAAUUUCUGAUUAUCCAUAUUGCAUAAGACUGUCAUCUUCCCAUCAGUAAGGAAAAAUGAAUCACAAUCUGGGUGAAUUGCCAACAUCUUGUAGGACUCGUCAUCUUUGCGAGAAUGCCUUUCGAACAGUACCAAAACAUUAGCAGUGUGCUUUAGUGUCCAUUUUCCGCUAGCAUAAUCCUCAAGAACCCAAACGAAGAGUUGACAACAAUCAUCUACACUCCAAGUAUGCAAGCACCCCUGAGAGAGUCCAAUGGCUGCUUCCGCCAAGCAUGGCGCUUUAAUUUCUCUCCAAAUCUUUCCCUCUCUGUCUACUGUUACUAUUGAAGAAUUAAAGGUAGUCAAAUGGAUAAUUCCAUUCAGGAAGAUGGUAGGUUUGGCCGUAUGCAUCGUUCUGAUGCAGAGGACGGGGAGUCCCCCAGAUUGAUCACGACGCACCACAGCGUCGCGACUCCACUCAUUCAGCGCGAAAGUCCACCGUCCAGUUUCCGAUGGGUAGAUCGCCACUUCUUCGAUGACAUCAAAAUAAUCUGCCAGGGGCACGACCACCACAAAACUGGAGGGGUUGGCUGUAUCAAAACCCAAAAAACGUUCGGCUUGGUCUAUAUCACAAAGGUGACCUCCAACCAGACAGAGAAUCUCUGGUCGGCCCGGGACCUCUAUAGGAGGCAAUACAGUACACUUCUCAGUCACCGGAUUUCACACGACAUAUUCAACAUCCUCUUGCACUGAGGGCGGUUUCCAGCACAUGCAAAGUAGAAGUCCGCCGCAGCAUUUUUCGACACUGCAUUUUUUAUAUUAAUAACUGGUCAAGAAAGAAAGACCGGCAUUGAACAAAGGGGGGCCACCCCCUGCCAGAUCAUGGAAAUAGAGGCCCUCAUCACAGUCCUCUCCGAAGAAGUAGAGGCUGGACAGCAGGGUCAGCGGCGACCUCUUGCGGAUGUCGAGACCGGAGCAGAGGGCGAGCCACGGCUUGGAGACGCACUUGAAGCAGCAGAGCGACUUGUAGCGCACCCGUGAGAGGAUCUCAAUUAUGACGUCGUCGGGGAGGUCCGCCGUGGGCUGCUACUCGUGCUCGUGCAUCAGCUUCUUCUUCUUCUUCUUCUUCUUCUUCUUUUUCUACAAAGGGAAGAGACGAUUCGUUCAGGUUUCCAAUUCUUUUUCUUGGAUGGAAGAUUGGAAGAUUUAGAAGAAGAGGCGGAAGAACAAACCUCUGGAGCAACGAUGUGGAGCGGCGGCGAACGGGACGGAGCGUCCUCGCCGCGGCCACGGGGGCUGGUCGCCGGUGGGGGAUCCUGCUCCAUGGCACCAUAUCCUCCUCGUCCUCCUCCACCUGGCGACAUCGUCUCCUCGGUAUACCGGGACUAUGACACGAACUUGAUCCUCGCCUGAUCGGCUUAUUAGUUAUUACUAGUUGAAUGCUCGUGCGUUGCGAUGGGUCUUAAAAAUGUAUACACUGGUCAUUGUUAUAAUUUAGAAGUGUAUGUCAAACAUGAUUGAUAUUCAUCCAUAUAACGGCAACUUCCAAUUCUUUCUCCCACUUCUUUCUCUAUCAUGUCUCUUUUUUUAACGUGAAAUAGUAGGGGAGACCCCUAAUGUAUAUUUUACAAAAUUAGAAGUGUGUCCUUAACUCCCUAUGUCAUCGUCUCUUUCAGUACCUCCCCUUCAUCGAGAAAAAGCGGUUUUCUCCCCGUCGUUCCUCCUUCCACAUCCAUGGAAUCCAUCCAUCUUUGCUCUAUCAUUGUCGUCAAUUCAAAUGUUGGUCAUUUUAUCCUAACUAUCACUUGGCCACUUCUUCAAAACAUUAGAAGAUCUAUGAAAUAGUGCAUAUGUAUCGACAGAAAUAAUGAGUAGGGACGACGACUUGUACCCUAGUAUAUCUCGUAUGGGGAAGUCAAUAUGAAAAUACCAUGUCUAGUGUUGUACAUUUACACGGAAAUUUUUGUAGGGAUAUCCAUUCUAAUAAAAUUUGACUUAGAGCACUGACUACCAGUUACAUGAAAGACGAUGCAUGCCCUUUUAAAUUACUCACCGCCAACUCCUAAGCAGCAAUGGAGUUUCUUCCUUCCAACCAAAGACGUGAUUUAUGAUCUGAAAAAUAGAACCGGAAAACAGUUAGUAAAGAUUAACCUAAUUUGGAAGAAUAUAGAUUUUUGUCCUUUUUAGUGAAGUAUGAUUACUAAAUUGUAGCUCAUGGCAAGAGCAUAUAGGUCCAGGUCUCUCCUUUUCCCUUCAAUUUAUCUUACCUCUUUUGAUCUUCAUUCAACAUCUGAGAUCUAUUGGAACAAAAUACAUUACUGGAUUGUGUUUGUCUCUAAUAUAGUUACAGUGAAACAAUUGGAAGCACUCAUCUGAUGGGAAAUAAGCUAAGCUUGCAAGGCAUGAGAUGUAUUUAUAAUGAAUAUAAAUAAAAUAAUAAUGAAGUAGCACUAAGACCUUUGUAGUAUUUUACAUCUUGGGAAAAGCUUACACAAGGCACAUCUGGUACUUGCAAGUGGCACUACCUCAUUGUAAAAUGCAACAAUUAGGCAUAAACCAAUCGGCAUGGACAAAAAUCUAAAGAUACUUAGUGUUAUUAGAUUCAACACAUAUACUUUUUAGAACCCUUAAAAUACUCUGUAGGAAAUUUUAUGAUCAACGACAUUUAUGAAGAUCAUUCUGAAAUACACUUGCAAUUUUCUAGAACUAACUUCUAAUAUAAAUUUGAGAUUAACAUCUUUCAGAUGGAAUUAACAAGAAGGCACGUACUACAUCCAGCAUCAUCUUAAGUAGUAACACACAGAUAUUUAGCUAGACUUAACUGUUAGGUAGGUGUGUAUAGAAAGCUCUCGACUGCAGCAUUUUAGUACAUCAUAGUGGCUAAUUUCAGGAUAUAUGAAUAGUCAGAAGACGUAAACAGAGCAAAGAAAGGGUCACCAAAAGGUUCAACGACGUGGAGCUUACAAAGUCUUCCACCUUAGUUUAUCCUACAUUGCCACAGCCUACAUGUAUUUACUUGCAAGAGUCCUAACCUUGGUAUUGAAUUGUUGUUACAGCAAAAAAAUAUGGAUAUCGAAGAAAAACGAAAAGCAAGUUGCAUUCUCUGCAAAACCCCGGCAAUAUAACCUGUCGUAGGAAUAUUGUCAGCAACAACUAUGAUGUACUACUACUAAUUUGAGUAAACAAAUAAGAUAGAUGCAUCACUAACACGAUGUGGGGAUACUAAGCAAAAACAAAACCAUUGUCAGCAACAAAUAGGAAGUUAACUCUGAUGUGCUGCUACAGCCGUCCGUGUGACCUCGUCGUUCUCCACCCCAUCCGACCCGGUCUCCUCCGAUGGCUGCCCCCGCGCCUAUCCAUCAGAACAAGACUAUUCCGCAUUCAGAAUGGCGUAAUAAAUGUUAGAUGUGUAUAGACAUUUGUCUGUAUAUCCCUAAUGUAUAAGGGAUUUCUCUGCACUUUAACACAUAUGUAUAUGUACUGGCCUCUGGCCUCAGUUAAUGUCAAGUUGCUCAUUCCUCACAUGGUAUCAGAUGCUUAGAUUCCUCUCCCACUCCCGCACCACGCAACUCCGUGCUGCUCUUCCCCCGGCCGCCGCUCGGCUUCUUCUUCGGCUGUCUCGUCUGGCUGCUGCUCCGUCUGGAAGCAACCCCGUCAGGUCCACCUCACCCGUCUGCCGCUCCUCCCGUCUGCCCGGUCGUCGCCGCGCCUGUCCAGCCGCAGCCGCGCCCGUCUGGCCGUCGUCACGUCUUCCCGGUCGCAGCCGCGCCCGUCNNNNNNNNNNNNNNNNNNNNNNNNNNNNNNNNNNNNNNNNNNNNNNNNNNNNNNNNNNNNNNNNNNNNNNNNNNNNNNNNNNNNNNNNNNNNNNNNNNNNNNNNNNNNNNNNNNNNNNNNNNNNNNNNNNNNNNNNNNNNNNNNNNNNNNNNNNNNNNNNNNNNNNNNNNNNNNNNNNNNNNNNNNNNNNNNNNNNNNNNNNNNNNNNNNNNNNNNNNNNNNNNNNNNNNNNNNNNNNNNNNNNNNNNNNNNNNNNNNNNNNNNNNNNNNNNNNNNNNNNNNNNNNNNNNNNNNNNNNNNNNNNNNNNNNNNNNNNNNNNNNNNNNNNNNNNNNNNNNNNNNNNNNNNNNNNNNNNNNNNNNNNNNNNNNNNNNNNNNNNNNNNNNNNNNNNNNNNNNNNNNNNNNNNNNCGGUCCGCCCGGCCGCUGCGGCGCGGUCCGCCCGGCCGCUGUCGAGCGAGCCCGAUCGCUACCUCGAGCGGCCUCUGCUCCGCCCUGUUGGAAAUAUGCCCCAGAGGUAAUAAUAAAUUAGUUAUUAUUAUUAUAUUUCAUUGUUCAUGAUAAUCGUUUAUUAUCCAUGCUAGAAUUGUAUUGAUAGGAAACUCAGAUACAUGUGUGGAUACAUAGACAACAUCAUGUCCCUAGUAAGCCUCUAGUUGACUAGCUCGUUGAUCAAUAGAUGGUUACGGUUUCCUGACCAUGGACAUUGGAUGUCGUUGAUAAAGGGAUCACAUCAUUAGGAGAAUGAUGUGAUGGACAAGACCCAAUCCUAAGCCUAGCACAAAGAUCGUGUAGUUCAUAUGCUAAAGCUUUUCUAAUGUCAAGUAUCAUUUCCUUAGACCAUGAGAUUGUGCAACUCCCGGAUACCGUAGAAUGCUUUGGGUGUACCAAACGUCACAACGUAACUGGGUGGUUAUAAAGGUUCACUACAGGUAUCUCCGAAAGUGUCUGUUGGGUUGGCAUGAAUCGAGACUGGGAUUUGUCACUCUGUGUAAACGGAGAGGUAUCUCUGGGCCCACUCGGUAGGACAUCAUCAUAAUAUGCACAAUGUGACCAAGGAGUUGAUCACGGGAUGAUGUGUUAUGGAACGAGUAAAGAGACUUGCCGGUAACGAGAUUGAACAAGGUAUCGGGAUACCGACGAUCGAAUCUCGGGCAAGUAUCGUACCGCUAGACAAAGGGAAUUGUAUACGGGAUUGAUUGAAUCCUUUACAUCGUGGUUCAUCCGAUGAGAUCAUCGUGGAACAUGUAGGAGCCAACAUGGGUAUCCAGAUCCCGCUGUUGGUUAUUGACCAGAGAGUUUUCUCGGUCAUGUCUGCAUGACUCCCGAACCCGUAGGGUCUACACACUUAAGGUUCGAUGACGCUAGGGUUAUAGGAAAAGUAUGUACGCGGUUACCGAAUGUUGUUUGGAGUUCCGGAUGAGAUCCCGGACGUCACGAGAAGUUCCGGAAUGGUCCGGAGGUAAAGAUUGAUAUAUAGGAAGUAUGGUUUUGGCCACCGGAAGUGUUCCGGGCAUCACUGGUAGUGUACCGGGACCAUCGGAGGGGUCCGGGGGUCCACCAGGUGGGGCCACCAGCCCCGGAGGCAUACAUGGGCCAAUAGUGGGAAGGGACCAGCCUCUAGGUGGGCUGGGGCGCCUCCCACCAAGGCCCAAGGCGCCUCCAAGAGGGGAGGGGGGCAAACCCUAGGGCAGAUGGGCCCUAAGGCCCAUCCCAGGUGCGCCUCCCCCUCUCCCCCUUGUGGCCGCCACCCUAGAUGGGAUCUAGGGCUGCUGCACCCCUUGGGGUGGGAACCCUAGGUGGGGGUGUAGCCCUCCCUCUCCCCCUAUAUAUAGUGGAGGCAAAGGGGCAGCCCAACACACGAAGUUCUUCCCCUGUUUGCGCAGCCCUACCCCUCCCCCUCCUCGUCUCUCGUAGUGCUUGGUGAAGCCCUGCUGGAGUUCCGCGCUCCUCCACCACCACCACGCUGUCGUGCUACUGCUAGACGGAGUCUUCCCCAACCUCUCCUUCUCCCCUUGCUGGAUCAAGGCGUAGGAGACGUCACCGGGCUGCACGUGUGUUGAACGCGGAGGCGCCGUGGUUCGGCGCUUAGAUCGGAAUCAAUCGCGAUCUGAAUCGCUUCGAGUACGACUCCUUCAUCCGCGUUCUUACAACGCUUCCGCUUAGCGAUCUACAAGGGUAUGUAGAUGCACUCUUCUUCCCCUCGUUGCUAGAUUACUCCAUAGAUUGAUCUUGGUGAUGCGUAGAAAAUUUUAAAUUUCUGCUACGAUCCCCAACACGCCCGUGCGUGAGCACGACCCCUGCCCCCUGGGCCCGUCUCGCUCGUGGCUGGAUCGGGCGCCAGCCACCCCUUCUCUCGUUCUGCAUCGCGAUCUGGUGCGUGAGCGCAUGCGAUUCAGCUGCUUCUCCCGAUCCAGAUCUGAUCUGGCUGUGUGCAGUUGACCAAAAGAGAGAGAGAGAGAGGCCAUGUCCUCUUCGGUCUACGUUGUUGUUCCUCGUUGCUCGGUGAUCUUCGAUGGCACCAAGUAUUCUGAGUUUGUCGGCUUUAUGCGCAUCCAUAUGCGUGGACUUCUUCUGUGGGGUGUUCUCUCUGGCGAGGUCCCCUGUCCGCCAUGUCCGGUUGCGCCAGUGGCCCCAAUCCCACCAGUGCCGCCGAUUCUUGCUGCUGCCUCUCAGGUUGACCGGGAUGCUGCCAAGGCUCUGGAUGACGCUGCGGUUGAUACUUAUGAUCAGCAUGUAUCUGCUUAUUCCGAUGCUCUCUCUGUGUACCGGGAUGAUCUGUCUGCUUACACUCAGUGGUGCAAUGAUGAUGCUCGAGCUGCUGCUGUUCUCACCGCGAGUGUCCUCCCUCAGUUUGCUUCCGAGUUCAUGGGACUGGGCACAGUUGCCGCAUUAUGGUCUUAUCUCUGUCGGCGCUAUCAGCCAUCUGGUGAUGCUCUCUACCUAUCUGUGGUGCGCCAGGAGCACGCACUCUAGCAAGGUGAUGCUUCUGUUGAUGAGUUCUAUUCCCAGUGCUCUGCCAUCUGGCGCCAGCUUGACUCUCUUCCGACAGUUGUUUGUGGAACCUGUCAUUGCCGUCAGACUACUCGCUCUGAUCUGGAGUUUCAGCGGGUCCAUGAGUUCUUAUCUCGUCUCCGGUCUGAGUUUGAGCCUCGCCGUGCUCACUUGCUUGCUCGUGGUCGUAUUCCUAUCUCAGAGAUACUUGCUGAGCUUCGUGCUGAGGAGACCCGCCUUCGCUCAGCUGGGCUGCUUCUGGUUCCGUCAGUAUUGGUCACCCGGGCUUCUGUGUCGUCUGCUCGCCUCACUGCUCCGCCGCUUCUGCCUACUCCUCCAGGGGGUGAGCCGUCCUCCUUAUGCUGAGAAGGGCAUGUCGCGCCGUGACACCGUAUGUGGUUACUGCUCCCGGCCAGGCCACCCAGAGUCUGAUUGUCGCCAGAAGAAGCGAGACCAGAGACGCUCCUCCUCGAGCGGGACUCCUGUGUCUUCCUCGACUCCGUCACUCACUGACCAGGACAUUGUUCGCCUCAAGCGUCUUCUUGCGUCCUCAGGCUCCUCGUCGACUGCUUCUGCUGCUGCUGUGACUACAUCUCCUUCCUCACCAUCACCGGCAGCUACACAGUCAGGUACAUCUUCGUGGGUUCUGAAUUCUGGAGCCUCUUUUCAUGUCUUCUGAUUCUUCCGUGUUGUCUUCUCUCCGACCUCUUGAUUCUCCUGUUAAUGUUCUUACUGCCGAUGGCACAUCUCUUCCUGUUGCUAGUCGUGGUAUUCUUUUCACUCCAUCUUUUUCUGUUCCAAGUGUUUCACAUGUUCCUCGUCUUACCAUGAAUCUUUUUUCCGCUGCCCAACUUACUGAUUCUGGUUGUCGGGUCAUUCUUGAUACCGACUCUUGCUCCAUUCAGGAUCGUCGCACCAAGGCUUUGGUUGGUACUGGCCCCCGGCGCCGUGAGUCAGAGGGCCUUUGGGAGGUUGACUGGCUUUGUGUUCCUUCCUCUGCCACAACUUCUGUCAGCUCUCAUGCUCUUACUGCCUCUUCGUCCGCGUCCUUCCAGCAGUGGCAUCAUCGCCUUGGUUACAUCUAUGGAUCUCGCUUUUCUUCUUUAGUUCGUCAGGGCCUCUUAGGGUCUAUAUCUGGAGAUGUCUCCUUACAUUGUAAUGGUUGCAGACUUGGCAAACAGACUCAGUUACCUUAUCCUACUAGUGAUUCUGUAUCUCAACAUCCCUUUGACUUAGUUCAUUUUGACGUCUGUGGUCCUGCUCCCUUUGAUUCGAAAGGUGGUCAUCGCUACUAUAUUUUGUUUAUUGAUGAUUUCUCUCGCUACACUUGGCUCUACUUCAUGAAAUCCCGUAGCGAGGUUCUCUCAAUAUACAAACGUUUUGCUGCCAUGGUUCACACCCAGUUUGCCACGCCCAUUCGUACUUUUCGUGCUGACUCUGCUGGCGAGUUUAUCCCUCAGAUGUUGCGCGUUUUUCUCGCGGAACAUGGUACUCUUGCCCAGUUUUCCUGUCCUGGUGCUCAUGCUCAGAAUGGCGUUGCCGAACGAAAGCAUCGUCAUUUGCUUGAGACGGCUCAUGCGCUGAUGAUUGCUGCUUUCCUUCCACCCCAUUUUUGGGUUGAGGCUGUUUCCGCAUCCACCUAUCUCAUCAACAUUCAGCCAUCGACUGCUCUUCAGGGUGGUAUUCCUAUGGAGUGUCUCACUGGUCGCUCUCCUGACUACUCAGCUCUUCGUAUGUUUGGAUGCGUGUGCUAUGUUCUUCUUGCCUCCUGAGAACGCACCAAACUGACUGCUCAGUCAGUUGGGUUUGUUUUCCUUGGCUACAAUGAUGAGCAUAAGGGCUAUCGAUGUUGGGAUCCUGUGGGCCGUCGCUUGCACAUCUCGCGUGAUGUGACUUUUGAUGAGUCUCAUUCUUACUUUCCACGUUCUUCCUCCUCGAGUUUCUCUGUGGACGACCUUUCUUUCCUUCUCCUUCCCGAUACACCCUGCUAUGUGUCUCCUGUGUCACCUCUUCCUCCGGCACCUCUCAUUCCCUCUCAUUCACCACCAACCCCGUCUUCUCCAUCCUCCUCCUCCACCUCUCCUCCAUCAUCUCCAGUCCGUCACCCUCUCUUCCCGUUUCCCCUUCACUAUACUCGUCGAUCUCGUCCUGCGGAUGUGUCCUCUGACGAGCCUUCCACCUCUGGUGCCCCUCCUCCCACGCCUCCCCCGGUUCACAACCUCCGUGCUCGGCCUCGCCCCCACCUGAUUGCUACUCCCCUGAUCGGUACGGUCUCUCUGUUAUUGCUGAGCCUACUUCCUAUCGGACUGCCAUGACUCAGCCUGAAUGGCAACUUGCGAUGGCUGAAGAGCUUACUGCUCUUGAGUGCUCUGGCACAUGGGAUCUGGUUCCCCUUCCUUCCGGUGUCCGUCCCAUCACCUGCAAGUGGGUCUACAAGAUUAAGACUCGCUCCGAUGGUUCUCUUGAGCGCUACAAAGCUCGUCUUGUGGCCCGUGGUUUUCAGCAGGAGCAAGGGCGAGAUUAUGAUGAGACUUUCACUCCUGUGGCCCACAUGACCACUGUCCGCACUCUUCCUCCUGUGGCUUCUGUUCGUCAGUGGUCUAUCUCUCAACUUGAUGUUCAGAACGAUUUUCUCAAUGGCGAGUUGCGUGAGGAGGUUUUUAUGCAGCCACCACCGGGGUACUAUGCUCCUGAUGGUAUGGUCUGUCGACUUCGCCGCUCCCUAUAUGGUCUCAAACAGGCCCCUUGCACCUGGUUUGAGCGUUUCGCCUCUGUGGUGACUGCGGCUAGCUUCUUGCCCAGUGAUCAUGAUCCUGCGUUGUUUUUUCACAUGUCUCCUCGUGGUCGGACUCUUCUCCUUCUCUAUGUUGAUGACAUGAUCAUCACUGGUGACGACUCUGAGUACAUUGCCUUUGUUAAGGCUCGUCUUCGAGACCAUUUCCUCAUGACUGAUCUUGGUCCCCUUCGCUAUUUUCUUGGGAUUGAGAUCUUCUCGACCCUUGAUGGCUUCUACAUCUCCCAAGAAAAAUAUAUUCAGGAUCUUCUUACUCACGCUGCUCUUGGUGAUGAGCGCACAGCUGUCACUCCUAUGGAGCCCCACGUUCAGCUUCGUGCAUCUGAUGGUGACCCUCUUCCUAAUCCCACUCGCUAUCGUCACCUCGUUGGCAGCCUUGCCUAUCUUGCUGUUACGCGUCCUAACAUCUCCUAUCCUGUCCACAUCCUGAGUCAGUUUGUGUCAGCUCCCACCUCUGUCCACUAUAGUCACCUCCUCUGUGUUCUACGAUAUCUUCGUGGCACGAUCUCUCAACGCCUUUUCUUUCCCCGCUCCAGCUCGCUUGAGCUCCAGGCUUACUCUGAUGCUACCUGGGCUAGUGAUCCCUCUGAUCGACGCUCGCUGUCUGCUUACUGUGUCUUUCUUGGUGGCUCUCUUAUUGCCUGGAAGACAAAGAAACAGACUGCAGUUUCUCGCUCAAGUACAGAGGCUGAGUUGCGAGCCAUGGCUAUGUUGACGGCUGAGGUGAUCUAGUUACGAUGGUUACUUGAGGAUUUUGGUGUGUCUGCUACUACCUCCACUCCUCUCCUGUCCGACAGUACCGAUGCUAUCAGUAUUGCUCGUGACCCGGUGAAGCAUGAGCUCACCAAGCACAUCGGUGUGGAUGCCCACUUUGUGCGUGCUGCUGUGCAGGAUCAGACUCUUGCUCUUCACUAUGUGCCUUCCGAGUUACAGUUGGCGGACUUCUUCACCAAGGCACAAACUCGAGCGCAACAUAGUUUUCUUCUCUCCAAACUCAGUGUUGUUGAUCCACCAUGAGUUUGAUGGGGGGUGUUAGAUGUGUAUAGACACUUGUCUGUAUAUCCCCAAUGUAUAAGGGGUUUCUCUGCACUUUGACACACAUGUAUAUGUACUGGCCUCUGGCCUCAGUUAAUGUCAAGUUGCUCAUUCCUAACAAUAAACACAACAAGACUAUCAAAUUUUAGUUACAAAUCAAGCAAAACUCUCACAAGGUCUACAGAACUGAAAAGUAUAAUUUCUCCUAGACUACAUCUCAGCAAUGACAGAUUUACUUUCUUUUUUGAGAAAGUGUCAAAAAAUUUCAAACAUAUAGAGCAGUAUUAGAAGUCCAUGCUCAUACCUCUUCUUUAUCCUGGAACUAUUAUGCCAUCUCCAUUAGAAGUUGCUGGAAGAAUAUGACCAAAAAUAAUAGUGCAUGUCAUAGCCAAGAAAUCAAGAUCAAGCACAAGUUUUCUAUUAGGAAUCAGACCAAGAAGAGAACCGUAUAAAUUUAGAGAAAAUAUGCAUCUAUACUAUUAGUGCAGAUCAUAACUAAGAAACCAAGAUGAAUAUUUUUACUCGAGUUCUCUUUUAGGAAUCACACCUUUUCGCUCAGAAUAUCCAUGCAAGAGAGCAUUGUGAGCUGGCUAGUGGGCCCUGGGACCAUCUGUAACUGUGUGUGCGUGUCGUGUAGGAGGAGUAUAUGUGACAGUCAGUCUCUGAAUUCUCUGUCUCGUUCUCUGAACCUCACAAACUCUCUUGUAUGGCUUCCUCCUCGUAUCUUCAAUUCCCCAUCCCCAAACUCUCCUGUAUGGCUGAUGAAAUAGAUGAUUCGAGAAAUCACAAAAUUUUAAGAGAGAAGGAAGAGAAACUUAUGGCACUUAUUGGGUGGUUGUACAUCUUCUAUCCAGAUCAGGCCAAAGCAGGCGGGACUGUGGACUCAGUCGCGGAAGGCCUCCAGGGCAAGCGGGAAAUCUCGAGGUCGGUGUUGAGCAAUGAUAGGGUGGAGAUGUUGCCGUGCUCCAUGCACAGUCACCGGGCGAACCCCUUGAACACAUCCGCUGCAGCGUGCUGCCGCUCGAAGUUGUCAUAGGCAGGAGAAGGUCAGCUACGGCCAUAGAGCCACGAGAAAGAGAGCGAUGGAAUUGGGGGAAGGGCGCGUGGGCCUUGGAGGUGGGACGACGUGCAUACGUGGGCUGUUUUAUUUUCUUUUUGAUUUUUCUUUCAUGCAAGGAGUUUUUUUUUGCACCAAAUUUAGGAGCUUUAUUGAUCAAGUAGCAUGAGGUUACAAUCAGUUCUGGACCCAAUCCAGCUUUCAGUGCCAUCCAGUGAGCAGGCGAGGCGAGCACACUGAUGGGCUGGUACAUUGCAAGAUCUACCAAUAUGAGUAACCGUCAAAGAAGCAAAACUAGCACUAAUCUCCUCUAAUUCCUCCAAGAUAGGCGCAACAAUUGAACGAGAAUUGUCGCGCGAUUUCCAGAUGUUGACUAGCUCUAGGCAGUCAAUCUCCAUUACCACGUGUGAGAAGCCGCGAAGUUGAGUGAAGAUCAUCCCCUCCCGGAAAGCUAAAAGUUCAGCAAUGAACGGGUCAGUGACACCCGAUAGGGGUUUACUCCAUGCUCCAAGAAAUGAAAGGUGCGAACGCACCACCCCUCCCGCUCCAGCCUUCGUGUCUUCAAUACUGACAGCAACAUCCGUGUUUGUAGUAACCCAACCUGCCUCGGGCGGGCGCCAACACUGAGCUGCCGAGCUCUUCUUGCGCGAUGGUGGAAGAUCCAGAAUAGCCAAGGUUUCAUGUAUCCACUUCAGGGCUUGAACUGGGUCGUAGCCAUCGCGAUCAUGAGUCCAACAGUUAUGUGAUGACCAUAUGAUGUGCAUGAUCGUAACAAUCCUGCAGCGGUCUUCUUCUGCGAACUGGGUGUCCAUCAGGAUAUCCCGUGCCCAAGUAUCCGGAUGCAAAUGAGGUUGAUGAAGUUGAAAUCUAUCUGCAGCUGCAAUCCAGAACUGCCUUGCAUGCGAGCAGUGAACUAGUGCAUGAAACAAGUUUUCAUCAAUUGCUUUGCAAAUACCACACCGGCCCAAUGGCUUAAUGUGUCGGUAUUGCAAAGUGACCGAAUCUGGUAGUAUACCCCAGAGUACUCUCCACCAGAAUACACGGACUUUUGGAACCACAUGUAAUUUCCAUAGGACAUUCCACAUCUGUUUGUUAGCUGAUGAAGUUUCUGUAAUCGUCCCUUCCUCUAGAGCGUGUUGCUCGUUCCGAGUCACAAGAGAGCGAUACACGGAUUUUACAGAGUAGUUGCCAGAUUUCUCUAAGGCCCAUGCCAAAAAAUCUUGGCCAUCGUUGAUGUUUAGGGGUAUAUUGAGGAUAGCUUCAACAUCCGGUUGCAAGAAAUUUGCUUGAAUGAUGUCCACAUUCCAGUUGCCUGUGUAGUCAUCUAUCAGUUCUAAGACCGUGGCUAGUGGGGAAGAGCCAAUGCGCCGCAUCGGUUUCAGAAAGAGAUUGCCAGGGAUCCAGGGAUCUAUCCAAGUGGAGAUAGUAGAACCGUCUCCAACUCUUUUGAUAAGCCCAACAUCGAGGGCCUUUCUCCCCGCAAUAAUUGCUUUCCACGUAGUCGAGGCUCGAGCAGGAGCACUCGCAUUAAGGAAUUCGGUGUGCGGAAAAUAUUUACCCUUAAGCACUCGCGAGCACAAAGACUCCGGUUUUGUGAGAAGAUGCCAACCAUGUUUCCCGAGCAUUACGAGAUUCAACACCUGCAUGUCACGGAAACACAUGCCGCCCUUCACUUUGGGUGUUGCAAGUUUAUCCCAAGAGAGCCAGUGGAGUGUGCGUUUGUCUAUGGAGCUCCCCCACCAAUAUUUGGCCAUGCAUGAAAUAAUACUCUUGCACACCUUUUUGGUAAGCAGAAAACAGCUCAUACUGAAGGUAGGGAUGGCCUGAACCACUGUUUUGAGCAAUACCUCUCGUGUCACACAUGCCAUGUUCCUUUCGGAGUAGCCGUGUAGCUUACUUCGACAUCGAUCCACAAUAUGAUAAAACGUCCCAUUAGUUAUCUUGCCAAUAGCUGUAGGUAAACCAAGGUAGCGCUCCGAAAAGGCCUCAACAUGUAUGUCCAGAGAUUGCUUGAGCAUCUGCCUUGUGGGUUGAUGUGUAUUGGUGCUAAAAAAUAUAGAGCUUCUCUCCCUGUUCACUGCUUGUCCAGAACAAUCAGCGUAAAUCCGGAGAAUAUCGUUCCAUCUAUCUGCACUCUGAGCUUGUGCAUUCAAGAAGAUAAGGCAGUCGUCGGCAAAAAGCAAGUGAUUAACCCAAGGUGCAUGGAUACUCACCCUAAUUCCUCGAUCAAUGUAUGCUCCACCAAAAUUAUUCAGGAGUGAGGUAAGGCCUUGAGCACAUAGCAGGAAGAGAUACGACGAGAUGGGGCAUCCUUGCCGUAAACCUCGUGAGGGAGUGAAGUACGGUAGUAGCUCUCCAUUCACCUUAAUGGUAAACCGAACAGAAGUGACACAUUUCAUAACCAACCGUAUAAAAGCAUCUCCAAAGCCCAGCCUCGCAAGCAUUGCUUCGAGAUAGUGCCAUUCCACUCUGUCAUAAGCCUUGAGCAUGUCCAGUUUGACAUCACAACAAGAAUUCUUUCCCUUUUUCCUCCGCUUAAUAGCAUGGAUAGUCUCAUAAGCCACAAGUACAUUAUCUGUAAUUACGAGACCAGGUACAAAUGCACUUUGCUCUUCCCCUAUAACCUCAUCCAGAAUACCACGGAGUCUAUUGGCAAUUGCUUUGAUGGCAAUUUUGUAGAGCACCGGGCAUAAGGCAAUGGGACGAAAUUGUGAGAUUUUCUGCGGGUGUCGUACCUUAGGGAUCAGCGUGAUGGCAGUAUCAUUCAAGCCUAGAGGUAACUCUCCCCCGUUCAGAAAGGCAAGCACGGCCAUUGUUAUAUCCUCACCUAGAACAUUCCAAUGCCGUUGAUAGAAACCUGCCGUAAAACCAUCCACCCCGGGGCCUUGGAUGGUGCCAUAUCAAACAACACCUUUUUCACCUCCUCCGCUUUGUAAGGUCGCUGGAUAAAGUCGUUCAUAGCAUCGGUGACACUAGGCUGUACACAGUCAAGUAACUCAUUCAUCGGCCUAAAACCUUGUGUUUGAUACAUGUCUUGAAAGAAAUCACCAACUUCUUUUUUCACUUCCUCUGGAUCUUGCAAUAUCUGACCGUUGGAGUUUUCCAGAGAAGUAAUGCGGUUCUGUCUCUUACGCUGCGCGGCCUGGGCCUUAAAGUAGCCCGUGUUGCGGUCUCCCUCACGUAGCCAGAGAACCCGCGAUCACUAUUUGAGCCAUAUCUCCUCUUGGCGUAAGGCUUCACGCAGCUGAGAUGAAACGGACAACUCCUCUUGCGAAGGGCCACGCCCCAUCGAGGAGCUUCUCACACGUUCUAGGCGCUUUUGGAGUGUGCGGACUUUCUUUGAGAGAUUGCCAAACUCCCGUUCACCCCAGGAUCCUAGAUCCUUUUGGACGAUGGCCAAAGCAUCGACCACUCCUUGUAAACCUUCUUGUCCAGCGCCAACCCGCCAAAGAUCAAGGAUCAGUUGAUCAUAUUGGGCAUGGCACUGCCAGACGUUUUCAUAUCUGAAUGACCACUGCUUCCGUUGCCACUUGUUCUGUUCUGAAGUUCUUGGCUCAACGACUACGAAACAGUGGUCAGAUUCCACACAACUGAUAUGCUUCACAUUCGUUGCUUGAUAAAGAUUUAGGAACUGCGCAUUAGCCAGGGCACGAUCGAUGCGAGCUUUCACAUUCGACGCCCCAUCCUGUCUGUUAUCCCAUGUAAAGGGAACCCCUCUCCAUCCCAAGUCUUGGAGAGAACAGUCCGCUACCACAUCCUGGAAAGCCCGAAUCUGGGAUUGCGGUCUGGGAUUAGAACUGAAGUGCUCAUCCGCAUGCAACAUCUCGUUAAUCACCCAUGCAUAACCAUGCCCGAUGCGGGACAGCAAAUAACGUACGAAGGAAACGCCAACUAUGGUGUCUAUUUUCCACUCAUGGCUCUCCGUAGAAACCAGUAAAACGCCAAGCUUUAUUGCCAUGUUUCACAUAAACAUCAAUGUGUGACGGGCUGUAAUUUUCAAGCUUGACAUCAACAUCUUUGGAGCAGAAAAGGCCAACACCACCACUAAGACCGUUGCUAUCAGCAGCAAAACAACCGGAAAAACCUAAAGAAAACUUUAAAUCUUCCACUCUUUUGCCCUUUAUCUUGGUUUCCAUUAAGAACAGAAGGGCGGGUCCUUCUUGCUUCACAAUCUUGCGAAGCUCACGAACUGUUUGAGGGUUCCCAAGCCCUCGACAGUUCCAGCUUAUUACACUCAUUUGGCCGGGCAGCGCUAACCAGCAGACGCCGCCGAAUUUUCUGACGAGGGUGGAGUGGGCUUCUUUUUCUUUGGGUGUCUGUCAGCCACCAAUGCUCCAUCUCCCUCCUCCCCCUCAGAGGUCGAAGCACCUGUAACAAGGUCCAUAGCUGCAGUUUCAGUUCCUUGUUCCCCUUGCUGAGUAAUAGCCAGUACAGGCGUCUGAACCACCGGUCUGUACACCUGAGUCUGCGGUCCUCCUUUCCUCUUGUUUUGGAUAGGUUUCUUAGGAGAGGUGACCUCAUUGGCAGUGGAUUUCUGCUGAGGCAUCGACGUGCGAGAUUCCCUUGUGCUAUUUUGCUACUCAAACUUCUCCUUCGCCGAGCUAUCUCCAGAAUUAGGUUUCUUCUUCUCAUCCGAUGCCCUAAGCGAAGAUCUGAAAGGCAGAUCACCCUUCUCAUCUCUUUUCCCCAGAGUUGGGCACAGGAGGUCUGAGUGUCCAAGUCGGCCACACGAAAAGCAAAAGUGAGGCACCUAUUCGUACUGAAUAUCAUACCAGUCUGUUUUGUUCCUUCUGGCCGACUCGAUCGCUAUCCAUCUACGGAGAGGCUUCUGUACAUUGAUUGAAACUCUGGAUCUGAGGAAGCCACCCACCGGAUCUAUCUGCACUGCAGUUGCCUGAGUAUCAAUCUGCCUGGCAAUAGCUAAGCCCCACUUAUCAUUCCUCAUAUUGUAGGGCAAAUUCACUACCCUGGCCCAAAGCUGAAGCCGGUCGAAGCGAAGCUCUGACAGCUGCAUAUGGGGCUGGAAGUUCUCAAGGAUUAUCACAUGUUUGUUGAUGUGCCAAGGCGAUCCAUCCCAAACCCGAUCUCUAUCCCGUUUUGAUUCAAAUUCCGCCACAAACAUGUUUUCCCCUAAGGGUCGUAUGGACAAGCCCCUAGGGUUUCCCCAUGCUGGACGAAGGGCGUUAGAGAUCGUCUGUAUGUGGAAGAGAUUUCGGUGCAACACUUUGCUAGCCAGGAGCCACUUCAGUGGCGCAUCAUCAUCCUCCAGAUCGUUGAUCACCAGAGGAGUUGCUUCUUCCUCCGAGAUGUUGAGUUUGCCCAGCGCCUCCUCCAUCGCCGCCCUGGUCGAGCGGUCUUGAGAGGAGNNNNNNNNNNNNNNNNNNNNNNNNNNNNNNNNNNNNNNNNNNNNNNNNNNNNNNNNNNNNNNNNNNNNNNNNNNNNNNNNNNNNNNNNNNNNNNNNNNNNNNNNNNNNNNNNNNNNNNNNNNNNNNNNNNNNNNNNNNNNNNNNNNNNNNNNNNNNNNNNNNNNNNNNNNNNNNNNNNNNNNNNNNNNNNNNNNNNNNNNNNNNNNNNNNNNNNNNNNNNNNNNNNNNNNNNNNNNNNNNNNNNNNNNNNNNNNNNNNNNNNNNNNNNNNNNNNNNNNNNNNNNNNNNNNNNNNNNNNNNNNNNNNNNNNNNNNNNNNNNNNNNNNNNNNNNNNNNNNNNNNNNNNNNNNNNNNNNNNNNNNNNNNNNNNNNNNNNNNNNNNNNNNNNNNNNNNNCGAACGAGGUGGGGGGUAUCGAAGGAGGUUGAAGCAUCGAAAGAGAUCGAACUAUCAUGACGUUUGAUCCCCCUUUAAUAGUAGAGAUUAGGAAGCCCUCUCGUCCUGCGUCCCGCACGGAAAAAAUCCAACGCAAAAAGAAAAGAAAAUAGGGCUAAAAAAAAACCGCAACCCACACAUGCAGUCAACAUCACCCACGACUCCCGCCCGUGCUAAUCCAAUGCCCCCGCCGACUCCUCCAGCUCCUCCACAAGUGCAGUCUGGAGCAUGUACCUACAUUAGCCGGCGACAUGGGGGCCGCCGUGGCUGUUGCAGACGGCGAAGAACUGCAGUCGAGGCAGUCAUUCAGAGCCGGAACCAUGGUGGCGGCUUCCUCCAUCUCCGGGCAGCAUCUGUAGGAGGACUCGAGACCCCACAGCGGCGAGGAGUCGAGGGUGAAGAUGGUACUUCACGAGUAGGAUAUUGGCGCGGCGUGUGCGGGCAGAUCGAUCAUCUGAGACGAGCAUGUCAGGUCCCUCUCUGAAUUUUUUAGUCGGGAAAUUAUUGACACCUCCCCUGUUUCGGCAUGUCAGAUGAUGUUGUUGACGUUCAUUUGCCAUCCAACGGCUCACAAGACAGGAUACCAGUUCGCCUAGUUGUAGUCGACAAAUUCAUUGAUCGGGGAUCAAACGUCUCACAGACUUCUCCACAUCGCUGUUCAAUGUCCGGCACUUCUUGCUUGAGUUCUCUUUUCAUCUGCUGCCUUGUUGUAAUGGCUGCAAAGCUACUUCUUCUAUAACAUUUGGGACAAAGUUAUGGUAAUUGGCAGUGGCGGAGCUUGGGACACAUCUUAGGAGGAGCAAAUGGGCUGGGGGGCAACUAACAUCAGGUUUAGGCUAGAUUUCUAUGAAUCUAUGGGCAAUUACCUAUGAUAAUAUGAAGAAAUCUUCUGGGUAGGGGGGGCGAUGGCCCAGCUUGAUCUCCACUAAGCUCCGCUACUGGUAAUUGGGUUGUAAACCCUAGACGCCCACUACUAGGAAAAGCGCUAUAGACAGCCACAUAACAGUGCCAUGUGGUAGGUAGGCCACGCUGCUGCUAUUUAGAAGUAGCACGGUGUUGAACCCAGCGCUGCAGGUGAACAUUAGCGGUUGCGCGGGUUCAUAGAAUCACUAAUUAUAACAUCAAAUGUGUUCUAUCUACAAAUGAUAGCUAUCAACCACACAAUCUUAUAUUUAUUCCGUUCUUUUUGUAGCAGAUGCUUCUUCCAUGUUGAAGAUGAAGAAGCGAUAUCAAGUAGUACCAAGCAUUACCGACGGCAUGCCGAGCACUCGUCCUCGACUGGUUCUAUACCCCCAUCCACGAAAUGAGUUUUCCUUUUAUGGUUUUACCUUAAUAAGCUACACAUCUUUUUGUGAAAAAAUUAUUCAUGGUUCCUUGACAAAUUCAUCAAUGUUUUAUGUGGGUGGGUGGUGUGUGUGUGUGUGUGGGGGGGGGUAGAUUGAUACCUUAAUUUAUCACUAAUGGGAAACCUACUAUUACCUACAAAGCCUUACACUUGGGAGCCAAACAACUGUUGUCAAGAAAAACUACCUGGAACAAUAAUACUAGGGGUCUUCCAGCACUUUUUCAUCACCUCAAUGGAGCUAAACAUGUUCAUAUGUUCAAUACAUUAGCCUCCUCAUCACUUGUCAUUAUCACCAGAACCCUUUAGGUGCUUCAAUGUUCUUUUAAUAUCAAAUAUUGAAUCAUAUGUAUGCAAAAGUAGUAGCGUCAUCUAUAAUUCUUUUAUAGGUUAUUACUAUUAACAAAUGGUUUUUUAGUACCGGGUAGAACAGUGGCGUCGACGAGCCGCCUGCAGCUCUGCCCAGUUCACAUCCUAGUUUCUCCCUCAGCGCAGACAAAUAUUCUGGAAAGAAGAACCUAAUCCCCAAACAGAAAAAUAGAAACAUCAGCAACAAAGGAUAAAGUGCACCAAACUUUGGGCAACCUGUAGCUAACUCAGAUUGCCUGGGCUAGAGAAAUAUAUAUCAACAAAUGGCUAACCAAAUCAACAAUACAAGACUCUAAACAUCUCCUGAAAUCUCUUUGGUUCGAUAGCCUACAAGCCUGUGGCGCCUAUGCGAAGCCUAUCCCCCAACCAGGUGUGAAGAUCCCUUUGAAGCAGGACUGUUGGCAGAUAGGGAAGGGAUUCAGGCAGCGACCACCUAUGCAACAGAGCCGUUUGUCCUUCAAACUGACUGUUGGAAUCUGAUUAAGACGCUGGAGAAUCCGAGCCAAGAUAUGUCACGACUAGGCCAUCUGGAUAGAGAGGUGAAGAAGUUCUCGUGGAAGAAAGGAGGCCAUCUAGUUAGAGAGGUGAAGAAGUUGUUCGUGGUAGAUGGUAGCCCAAAAUAUCCCACUCUUGCAAUGCUCAAACAUAACAACUUUCACAACAACUUCACCGUAUUCAUUACACUGGAUCUCCACAUGCUUAAAUUCCAAAAAUCCCGCAAAAGGAAACAAGUAGUGCACAUCAUAUAUUAUCUGCAUAUUGUUUACUGAAGGAAUCAGGAAGUAUGUAUUUUUUUUGAUAGAAGUCACAUCAGGAGUCCUCAGAUUUGUGAUAACAUCAGAAUUCAGAACACUAAAAUUGGGGCAGAGAAUCAUGACAAUGGUUUAAUAUAUACUCAAGAAGUUUCUUGAAAAAUAUUUAUCUAAUCACACACUAAAACCCUCCUUCCAUCUAUAUAGGGCCUAAUGCGUUUUUCGACGCUAACUUUGACCAAAUGUUAGAGCAAUAAUAUAUGACAUGCAACUUACACAAAGCACAUCAUCAAAUUCGUAUGUGAAAGGAGCUUUCAAUGAUAUAAUUUUCACAUUAUGCAUGUCAUGUAGUAUUAAUUUUAUCAAUAGUCAAAGGCGGUUUUGAAAAUAUAUUAUUGCUCUAACAUUUAUUAUAGACACAAUAUAUAGUCUUUGUAGUUGUGAAAAUAUAUUAAAAGAAUUGCCUUUAAAAAAUAUAGUUUUGUUUUAGAACAAUGUGAGUAUACUUUACAAUGAUAUAUACAACACAACUGUGUAAAAUGCACUACAAAAUGGAACUAUGACGAAUAAAUAAGAUAAAAGUAUACUCUUUAUGACGGUAGCACUAAAAAUAAAUUAAAAACAAGUAUAAAAGUUUAGUAUAAAUUAUAUUUGUGUGAAUUUACUCAAGUUUAAAUAUUGAUUGAACUACCCUAAAUGUAAUAGUUAGCAUUUUUAACAAAGUGGUCGACUCAUUCAGAUCGAUGCGCUCUCUAGCAAUAGCCUUGAGAAAUACACACUUAUUUUAGAUCGAUGGUAAGCUUUUUUGAAUCUUAUUUACGGGUUUUUUUGGGCCCGCUCGUCUAUAUCUCCGCCUCACAGGUUCUCGCCUCCCGCAUCUGGGCACAACAGGGCACCCUCUACGUAGUUGUCGACGUCGUUUGCCUUUUUAUCCCGAGGUACCCCCAAUCCUAGCCCCUCCCCUUUAAAUCUUCGGCUGUUCUUGAACCAUUCGGGAUUUACGGGAUUCGGAUAAUCAACGAGCAUUGGGCGCCGCGACAGCAGUCUCCCGUUCGUCAUCGGUCAGCGAACCACAACCAUCGCCCCCUUCUAAUUAAGCAGCAGUUUCAUGAAACAUGCAAGGACAUAUACAAGAUCCAUUUUAUUUUAGCAAUGCACAUCAGUUGACUGAAACAUGUUUUACAUAGGACACAAGGACGAAUAAGAUCAUACAAAGAUUGAUCACGCCUUUGGUCCCAGUUCGUAGCACAACCGGGACUAAAAGUGUGGGCCUUUAGUUUCGAUUGCUUAGCCCCGGUUGCAGAGCCGGGACUAAAGGCCCUCUAGAAUCGGACUGAUGCCCUGUUUUCUACUAGUGUUGGUGUCUAAAACCAGGACCGAAGACAGACCUUUAGUCCCGGUUGGAGACACCAACUGGGACUAAAGGGUGUUGCUCCUAGCGCAACCCCUUUAGUCCCAUUUGGUGUCUCCAACCGAGACUAAAGGUCUCAUUCGAACCGGGAUUGGUGCCUGCCGAGCCCCGUCUGGCGUCCGAGCUGCUCGAACCGGGACUAAUGCUCACAUUAGUCCCGGUUUGUAACACGACCGGGUCUAUUGCUCCGAUCCUGCUAGAACCAAAGCCCUAUUUUCUACUAGUGCUAAUAUAUUUCAUUAUUAAUUUACUAUGUUCAUUUUGUGCUCUAUGAGUGAAGAUUAGGUAACAUUGGCUUCAGUUGUUUUGUUGUUUAGGCCAAUAGAGGUUUUUAUCUUCGUAUGUCAAUGUUAGGUUUUUAACCAGAUUUGCAUAGAUUUGUCAUUUGAUAAUUAUUGUUCACAUGUAUUCAUGUGUCGGCCUAAAUCAUAUGAUUCUGAUCAUUGUAUUACUGCUUCAACCUAUAUACUCACAGGAAUAAAAGUGGUUUGAAGAAUGAAGACACACAUGCUUGGCGACAUAUUGAAUAGGUUGCUUGGCUGCUCGGCUCACCCGAAGGAAGGUCAUGUGAUUAUACUUGAACAAUAUUCAAACAAUUGGACAAUGCAACUCAGGUUGGUGAAGAAGGAAACAUGGUAAGCUAGGGUGAGCCAGGUGACGUGCCUACCAAAGUGUAGACAAGUGGUGUUCGAUGGUGUGCAGUAUCGAAAAGGGAAUGAGAAGCUUUGUUGAUAAUAAUUACAAGUUUCGGCCCAUAAGCCAAAAAAGGGCAGUGUGGCCGGCCUGAGAGUAGGAGGGCCCCAAAUGCGAAAAUUGCACUAGUAAUCACUAUACUAUCUUAUAUUAGGUCCAAAAUAUCGUAAAUUGCUUUUGGACUUUAUGGAGGUCUCCAAAUACAAAAUUCAAAGUUCAUGAAAAUUCAUAUUUUUACAUUUCAAAAAAUUCUGAAAAAAUACAGGUAUAGAUGAAGGCAUAAUGUACAACUUUGUAAAUUUUUAUGACGAAAUACGUUAAAAUGAGGGUUGUGCAAAAAAAAAAAAAUUGGGUUUUUUUAACACAUGAUACUAUUCAUCCUCCUAGACCAUGAUUUUUUCGUUUUUGUACAGGUCGCAUUUCAAUGUAUUUCAUCCUAAAAUUUUACACACAUACACCUCACAUCGUUGUUUACUUGUACAAAAACAUUCAGAUUUAAAAAACUUUUUUUUUAAAUGGCCUCCAUGGAAGCCAAGAUCCAAAACGCUCUACUCUCCAAAAUAUUAUCAAUUACAUAAAAGAAUAGCCUUAAUUUUGACGAGACAAGUUCAUACCACAUAGUAACAGUGUAUACCACCCUUAUGUGCGAAAUUAUAAAUAUCCCCUUUAAGAUCAAACAGUUCCAUCGAAUUGAUAUGACUGUAUGUGUGAUAGCAUCUACGAUAAGAGGAAUAUCAAUGAACCCCAUUCUUGCAAUUUCUGAGGAUACCCUCUUUUAGCUACUAGGUCAAUUUCUUAAUUAAAGAUCCCUCUUACUAACUGGAAUAAAAGAAUUAGUAGAUUUUUUCAUCCCAAAAUAUGAAUGGUUUUGAACUUAUAAAUUUAAUGAUGUUGCUAUUGCCUGAUGGGCUUGCUGCAUGUUAUAAUAGUUAGAUUUCCAUGUUAACCUAAUGUGCAACUUUUCAUUGGAGAAAAUUUUAUGAGUUCUUGAAUACACCAACUUAAACCAAGUGCAUUCUAGAUGAGCAUAUGAAAUUACCAGAUUGUACACACAUACAAAAGAGUCGGCAAUAUUUUAUUCUUGAUUAUUACAAUAACGAUGUUGUUGUCAAUACAAGUACAAAGCAUACAAAUGAUGUCAACUUAUUACUGAAUCCAACUUGCAAGAAUAUUUGUUAUACACUCAAAGUUUCUAUAGACAUGCUUGCCCAGUAAUACACUACAAACCAUUAUUUUAACAUAUUUCUUAUAGUGUAUGAAUUAGAAAUUUGUACCCAUGAUAUUUAAUCAUAUUAAAGUACAUAUGAACACACCCAUACAUGCAAAUAUGUGUUUUUAAGUAUAUAAUUUGUGCAAUGUUAAAAUGAGUUCCUUACAUCGUAAAAUUUGCAUUUAAUAAAAGUAAAAAACAUUGCAUAUUACAAUUUUGUAACAACACACACUAUAACUACUCUAUAAAAACAUCAUUAUGUGGUGAACUAUGAUAUAUAGGCAAUAGAAUUUUUUUGCUCGGUAACUAUAUUAUGAUACUUUUUGUUACAAUAAUCUAGUAUGGUACGAUUAAAUUAAAUAAGCAUAAAAGUUUAGCAUGCAAAUAUUUAUUUUACUUUUCCCCCAUACAAAAAUUGCUUGGAUCAUCUCUAAGACAAAAAUAUUUAUUUUCUUAUUUUCCCGAUGGAGCCGCACCGACACACCCGAGAUAAUUCAAACAAGUACAACAUAAAUUAUUUUUCAUUCAUUGUCAACUCAGUGAUCGAAUCAUUCAGAUCGAUGCGCUCUCCGACCUCUAGCCAAAAAGCACAGGAUUCACUAGUAGAAAAAGGGUCAUCUGUCCCGGUUGGUAAGGGCCCUUUGUCCCGGUUUUUGAAACCGGGACUAAAGGAUCAUUACUAAUGCCCUAGCCCUUUAGUCCCGGUUCUUACACGAACCGGGACAGAUGGGCCUUUGGUCCCGAUUGGUGGCACCAACUGGGACCAAUAGGCAUCCACGCAUCAGCAUUUCAGGGGCUGGGGUUUUUGUUUUUUUUGAAGGGGGAGGGGUUGGAGGUUUUGGGGGUUUAAUUUAGGUGUUUCAUAUAUUGUGUUAGCUAGCUAAUUAAUAGAGAGAAGUGUCCUCUCUUAUGUCCGUGCUUGGUCGACGCUAUAUAUACAUAUAGAGAGGACUAGACAUGCUAGCUGGUAAGCAAAUGAAGGAAACAAAAGAUCGUCAUGAACAUAUGUAUACAGAGAGAAGUGAUAUCGACCACCUCUCCUCCGAGAGAUUGGUCGAACAACAAGUUCUCGUAUAUCUAUCUGACACUACCGGCUACAUAUAUACAAUAAUUAUCUCUUACAAUAUAAUCUCCUAAUUAUAUAUGAACACAGGGUCCACAUAGUAUUCUCCGUCUUCAGCGAUCACGUGGUCAAGGAAGAAUGCCGCCAAUUCCUCUUGAAUUGCUCGCAUACGAUCUGGUGGUAGGAGUUCAUCCCGCAUCCGAAAGAUCUAAUUUGAACAAGGGGGUUAAUACAUAUAUAAAUGAAUAAAUGAAACUCAACACAAAUGAUGGUAAUAAAAUAAAAUUGUGAAUAUUAUUGCUUACGCACUUCAUAUUGUUCGUCAGAGUACCCCCAUUCACAGGUCGUGUGGCGGAUGGACUCGCAAACGUAGUAUCCACAGAAAUCAUUCCCUUGUUCCUGCCACAAUCACUUUACAAGAAAUAGAGGUCAAUCAAACUAAUAAGCAAGCAUGCCAAAUGGUAUUGAUGAAACUAGCGCUUGAAUCACUAGGAGAUGCACAGAACAUGUUACUAUGGUACUUACUUUCGGGUGUCUAAAUUGCAGCUUCUUCGGCAGUUCCGGAGCUUUUUUGGUGAAUUUUCUCCAAACCCUGCCAGACAAAGAAAACAAUUACUUGAUAUCAGGAAAUGAACAAAGUUGCUGAUAUGGUGGAUAAUGAUCGAUUUAACUUACUUCUCGAGCAUUUGAGUCAUGUCCGCAUAGUCCUGGGGAUCUUUUCAUCUCGAGUCUAAGACGGUUACUAGUCCCUGCUCAAGCUUAAUCUCUAGGAGAAUAUAGUGGAAGCUGCGCACGCAUGCAUAACUCAUCAAUUACAUUACUAUAACCUGGACUAGUAAGGGAAACUGAAUAUGCACAAGACAGUAACACUCACUUGAAGUUGUAAGGAAAGAGUAUUGUAUCUUUGUUUUCAUUUAUUAUCAACGAUCGUAGCAAGUUGGCCUCGGUAUCUUCGGCAUGAUAUUUAACCUCAGUUGCAUCUAUGAGAUUUGUGUUAAUGAACCCAAUAUCACCGAUUUGUCUUUUCUUCAAUUCGGCGAUCUUCAAUCUGCAUAAUAUAGUGAGAAAAAUUAUAAAUACAUGCAAUGAAAGAGCUGACCUAUAUAGAGAGACUUAAUGACAGAAGUAGUACUACUUAGAGACAGUAGCAAGUGACCGUUGCUUUGUUGAGGGCCUUUUGAUUGAAAAACUGGAAGAACUCCUCAAAUGGAACAUUCAACAGUUCAAUUCCAACGAGGUCAUGAUCCUCUCUAACUCUCAGUGUCAAAGUAUCCCUCCCCCAGACUCUCUGCAAGUUUUCAUGUACCAAUCAUGGAAUCUUCGCAUCAUCGUUGUUAGAGAUCUUUCAUCUUUGACGGGAGGCUUCCCGUACUCGUAUUUGUGUUCCUCCACCUCCAAGAAAUCAUAAUGUACAUCGUCGGGCAGGUAAUCUCCAAGAUUGCUAUAACCGGGCACCAUCCUCGGAUCAUUAGCGACGAUGUUGCUAGACACCUUGAGCGGGGGGCACGAUUGGUUCGCUUGUUCGCCGAGCUGGGCAAUUUUUUUCCCAGCUCGCCGUUCUUUUAUCCUUUGAUCACUGCAGUAUUUCCCGACCGCUCCGCUUGGACAAAUGUCUUUGCAAUAAUGCACUCAUAGUUUCCUUUCAGCGGAGACUUUGGUGGUUUUGUCAGGGCAGCCAGAGUGCGCUUUGCUUUCACCGGAUCUACCUUCUCCUCCGGAGGUGGAUGUUUCUUUGCUUUCACCCCUUGAAAGAAGUUCGUCACUUCGGCUUGCGCGGUCUUCGUGUUCUCCUCCGGGGUCCUCUCGUAUGGUAACUUCUCUGGAGUCUUCAGAGAAGGACCGAAUUUGUAUUGCCUCCCGUCUCUGGCUGUACUGCUAGACGCCGGCAGAGCAGACGGAGCGGCUGCAGCUGUCUUCUCUCCUUGCUUACGAGGCGGAGGAGAAGGACUACGACGCACCGGAGCGACCGGAGAGGCGGGGGGUCUCUUCCGCCCUUGCUGGCGAGGCGGAGAAGGAGGAGGCUGGUUGCUCGGGUGCGCCGGCGCAGGCGGAGAAGGACGCGGAGUGCCGCCACGCGCCGGAGAAGGAGGCUGAGUGCCCUAAUCACUCGCCGGAGGAGGAGGCGGAGGAGGAGGCGGAGUGCCCUUCAAGCCGGAGGAGGAGGAGGAGGCGAAGGCGUCCAGUUCGAAAGGUUGAUGAGCUCCUUCCGCCAUAGGCAUGGAGUCUUCAGAGCAGAACCCAGCCGAGUCUCCCCUUCACCGGUAGGGUGGUCAAGCUGGAGGUCCUCAAAUCCCUCCGUUAUUUCGUCCACCGUCACCCUGGCAUAUCCUUAUGGAAUCAGACGACAAUGAAAAGUUGCGCUGGGUUCAGGAGGUCGAACAGAGCCGACAGCCGCCUUGACUUUGAAGUUCUGCCAUUGCGUCAUAAGGUGGCAAUGUUGAGACUCCGUGAUAGCAUCCACGGGGUAGCUAGCAGGAGCCGUCAAGACAUGAUCCGGCUAAAGCAGCUCGGUGGAAGCCAUGCUGCUUCUCCGCUGAGAUGGCGGGGUAGCUUCGGGGGUAGUUUAGGAAGGUCGCUUGCUGCGAGCUACUUCUCGUUCCUCCAGCGCUUGAACCCUUUCGUGCAGUGUCUGAAUUUGGGCCUGCUCCACUUUUUUCCUCCUCUCCUGGCAUUUGUAACCACCCGCGUCCGGAAAACCAGCCUUCCACGGAACGGAGCCUGGCGUGCCUCAUGUCCGUCCAGGAUGCUCAGGAUUCCCGAGGGCCAUUGUGAGCUCGUCGUUCUCUCUGUCUAUAACGAACGUCCCUUGCUGCGCUGCAUCGAUAUAGUGCUUAAGCCUCUUGACUGGUAUUCUCAUGUGCUCGUCCGUCGAAACGCACUUCCCUGAUACAGGGUCCAAGGUUCCGCCAGCCUCGAAGAACCAAGUCCGGCAACGGUCUGGCCAGUUCAUUGUAUCUGGUUCGAUCCCUUUAUCAAGCAGAUCAUUCUCAGCCUUGGCCCACUUAGGCCGGGCUUUGAGGUAGCCACCUGACCCCGUGCGAUGGUGAAGCUUUUUCUUCGCAGCAUUUUUCUUGUUUGUCGCCGACAUCUUCUUACUCUUUUCCGAUGUCUUGUGGGCCACAAAUGCGGGCCAGUGAUCUCUGAUCUUCUCAUAUUUGCCGAUGAAUUCUGGUGUCUCUUCUUUGUCGACAAACAUUUUCAGCUCAUUCUUCCACCUCCUGAAUAGGUCUGCCAUCUUCUUAAGAGCAUCAGACUUGAUUAAUUGCUCUUUAACUGGCUUCUCCGGAUCCUCCUCUAGCGGUAGGGUGAAAUUUGCCUUCAGCUCAGUCCAAAGAUCAUCUUUCUGCAUAUCAUUGACACAAGACACCUCAGGGUCUUCGUUCUAGGCUUAUACCAUUGGUGGAUGCUAAUUGGGAUCUUGUUCCUAACAAGAACCCCGCACUGAGCAGCAAAUGCUUCCUUUGUCCGGAUGGGUUCAAUCGGUUGGCCGUCGCGCGCGAUUGCUGUGAUCUCAAACCUUUCAUCCGAGCACAACUUUUUCUUCAGGCCUCAUCUCUUUACUGAAGUUGUGUUCGAUCCGGAGGGCUAGAAAAAAUAAGAAACACGAGAUUUAAUUAAUAUGUGUACAUACCAAAACAUUGAAUGCAUCAAUUAGCUAGUCAACAUAUGCUUAACUAAUAUAUUUACCUGGCCGGACUCUGUUCGGUCACCGGAGCCGUCACCACGGGCUCCUUCUUGCACCAGCAUUGGGUCACCGGAGCCAUCAUAAUCAUGUCUUUCCUCCUCCAUUAUUCGAUCACCGUAGCCUGCUUCUUCACCCUGUUCUUCCAGACCAUCAUUGUCGUUAAGAUACGACAAGACAUCACCUCCGUCUAAGAUUAUGUCCCCCAACACCUCUUCUGCUUCAUCGUCUCGUCCGUGCUCCAUUGUUUCUGCAAAUAUUACAACAUGGCAAUUAUUACACAAACAUGACAGCAUGUGGAUAUAUUAGUGGCAAACGUAGACCUAUCUUAUUCCGGGUUUGGGUGGCCUCAACAAUGCUUCAAGGAUAGGGGCGCGGCGGGAGGGGGUAGGAGACCGACAUCGUUUUUUUUCUAGGGUUUGGGUGUCCUCGAGAGUUUUGGUCGAGCGAGAGGGCCAGGGGGUGCUCCCGUGGUAUAAGUUAUCAUUGUCGAAGUUAUCCGAGAGGGGGUUAUAUCGACAACGACGACAUACAUACAUGGGAAAAUAAUGUUAUCGGGAAGGGGGGUAGGUCGACCCCCCCUCGUGUUGAAGUUAUCGGGACACGGGGUAUAUCGGCAAUGACAUAUCCGAUAAAAAAUAAGAAGACGAAGAAGAAAUAAAAAGAGGAGAAGAUUGAAGAAAAAAAGAAGAAAAAAAGAGGAGAAGAAGAAAGGAAUAGAGGAGAAGAAGAUCUCUUCUUCUCCUCUAUUCCUUUCUGUUGGGUUACGUAGUAAUUUCAAAAAAUUUCCUACGCUCACGCAAGAUCAUGUGAUGUAUAGAAACGAGAGGGGAGAGUGUUGUCUACGUACCCACGCAGACCGACUGCGGAAGCGUUGACGCAACAUAGAGGAAGUAGUCGUACGUCUUCACGAUCCAACCGAUCAAGCACCAAAACUACGGCACCUCCGAGUUCGAGCACACGUUCAGCUCGAUGACGAUCCCCGGACUCCGAUCUAGCAAAGUGUCGGGGAAGAGUUCCGUCAGCACGACGGCGUGGUGACGAUCUUGAUGCACUACAGCAGCAGGGCUUCGCCUAAACUCCGCUACAGUCUUAUCGAGGAAUAUGGUGGCUGGGGGCACCGCACACGGCUAAGGAAUAGAUCACGUGGAUCAACUUGUGUGUUUCUGGGGUGCCUCUGCCUCAGUAUAUAAAGGACUAGAGGGGGAAGGCUGGCCGGCCAUAGGAGGCGCGCCAGGAGAGUCCUACUCCCUCUGGGAGUAGGAUUCCCCCCCCCCCAAUCCUAGUUGGAAUAGGAUUCGCGGAGGGGGGAAAGAGAGAGAGGGGGCCGGCCACCUCUCCUAGUCCUAAUAGGACUAGGGGAAGGGGGGAGGCGCACAGCCACCUUGGGCUGCCCCUUUCUCCUUUCCACUAAAGCCCACUAAGGCCCAUAUAGCUCCCGGGGGUUCCGGUAAUCUCCCGGUACUUCGGUAAAAUCCCGAUUUCACCAGGAACACUUCCGAUAUCCAAACAUAGGCUUCCAAUAUAUCAAUCUUUAUGUCUCGACCAUUUCAAGACUCCUCGUCAUGUCCGUGAUCAUAUCCGGGACUCCGAACAACCUUCGGUACAUCAAAAUGCAUAAACUCAUAAUAUAACUAUCAUCGUAACCUUAAGCGUGUGGACCCUAUGGGUUCGAGAACAAUGUAGACAUGACCGAGACACGUCUCCGGUCAAUAACCAAUAGCGGGACCUGGAUGCCCAUAUUGGCUCCUACAUAUUCUACGAAGAUCUUUAUCGGUCAGACCGCAUAACAACAUACGUUGUUCCCUUUGUCAUCGGUAUGUUACUUGCCCGAGAUUCGAUCAUCGGUAUUCCAAUACCUAGUUCAAUCUCAUUACCGGCAAGUCUCUUUACUCGUUCCGUAAUACAUCAUCUCACAACUAACUCAUUAGUUGCAAUGCUUGCAAGGCUUAUGCGAUGUGCAUUACCGAGAGGGCCCAGAGAUACCUCUCCGACAAUCGGAGCGACAAAUCCUAAUCUCGAAAUACGCCAACCCAACAUCUACCUUUGGAGACACCUGUAAUGCUCCUUUAUAAUCACCCAGUUACGUUGUGAUGUUUGGUAGCACCCAAAGUGUUCUCCGGUAAACGGGAGUUGCAUAAUCUCAUAGUCAUAGGAACAUGUAUAAGUCAUGAAGAAAGCAAUACCAACAUACUAAACGAUCGGGUGCUAAGCUAAUGGAAUGGGUCAUGUCAAUCAGAUCAUUCAACUAAUGAUGUGACCUCGUUAAUCAAAUAACAACACUUUGUUCAUGGUUAGGAAACAUAACCAUCUUUGAUUAACGAGCUAGUCAAGUAGAGGCAUACUAGUGACACUAAGUUUGUCUAUGUAUUCACACAUGUAUUAUGUUUCCGGUUAAUACAAUUCUAGCAUGAAUAAUAAACAUUUAUCAUGAUAUAAGGAAAUAAAUAAUAACUUUAUUAUUGCCUCUAGGGCAUAUUUCCUUCACUUUCUUCUUCUCCUCUUCUUUUUCUUCUUUUUUCUUCUUCUUAUUUAUUUCUCCUCUUCUUCCUCUCCUCUUCUUCUCAUUUCUUCCUCUUCUUAUUUUCCUUUUUCCUCUCAUUCUUUUUCUUCUUUUUCCUUCUUAAUAUCACUUAGCAACUUUUGCAACGAUAGGAAAUGUUCAAAUAGAAAAUUUAGAAAAAAAGUAAAUGUUUUGCCUAAUGCAUUGCUCAUAUGAAUAUACAAACAUUUGCAUAUUCUACAAUAAUUAAUAUCACCAAAAAAAUCUAUGAACAGAAAAAAAUCCUAACUUUUCUAAAAAUCUAUCUUUUGCAUAUAUACACAGAGAACAUAUACAUACAUAUAUACAUUUUUUUGCAUACAUGAACAUACAUGAACGUACGGGGUCACCAAGGUAGAGUUCUGUAGAAGUGUGUAGUGUUCUUGAGACCAAGAAUAUCCGUCCCUGCAUAUUAUUGAGUCCCCUCCAAGCGUGCCUUUUCCAGUCAGUCUCCCCUCAUACCGUGAUUUAGGGAGACCUAUCUUCUUAAGGCCAGGAAUGAACUCAAAACAAAACCCAAUGACAUCCUCUGUUUGAUGGCCCAUGGAGAUGCUUCCUUCUGGCCUAGCGCGGUUACAGACAUAUUUCUUUAGGACUCCCAUGAACCUCUCAGAGGGGAACAUAUUGUGUAGAAACACGGGCCCCAGAAUGACAAUCUCGUCGACUAGAUGAACUAGGACGUGUGUCAUGAUAUUGAAGAAGGAUGGUGGGAACACCAGCUCGAAACUGAUAAGAUAUUGCACCACAUCACUCCUUAGCCUUGGUACGAUUUCUGGAUCGAUCACCUUCUAAGAGAUUGCAUUGAGGAAUGCUCAUAGCUUCACAAUGGCUAAUCAGACGUUUUCCGAUAGAAGCCCCCUCAAUGCAACCGGAAGUAGUUGCGUCAUAAUCACGUGGCAGUCAUGAGACUUUAGGUUCUGGAACUUUUUCUCUGGCAUAUUUAUUAUUCCCUUUAUAUUCGACGAGAAGCCAGUCGGGACCUUCAUACUGAGCAGGCAUUCAAAGAAGAUUUCUUUCUCUUCUUUCGUAAGAGCGUAGCUGGCAGGACCUUCAUACUGCUUCGGAGGCAUGCCGUCUUUUUCGUGCAAACGUUGCAGGUCCUCCCGUGUCUCAGGUGUAUCUUUUGUCUUCCCAUACACGCCCAAGAAGCGUAGAAGGUUCAUGCAAAGGUUCUUCGUCACGUGCAUCAUGUCGAUUGAAGAGCAGACCUCUCGGUCUUUCCAGUAGGGUAGGUACCAAAAUAUAGAUUUCUUCUUCCACAUGGGUGCGUGUUCCUCAGCGUCAUUCGGAACAGCUAGUCCGCCGGGACCCUUUCCAAAGAUUACGUGUAAAUCAUUGACCAUAGCAAGUACGUGAUCACCGAUACACAUGGCGGGCUUCUUCCGGUGAUCUGCCUCGCCUUUGAAAUGCUUGCCUUUCUUUCGACAUUGAUGGUUGGUCAGAAGAAAUCGACGAUGGCCCAGGUACACAUUCUUCCUGCAUUUGUCUAGGUAUAUACUUUCAGUUUCAUCUAAACAGUGCGUGCAUGCGUGGUAUCCCUUGUUUGUCUGUCCUGAAAGGUUACUGAGAGUGGGCCAAUCAUUAAUGGUUACAAACAGCAACGCGUGCAGGUUAAAUUCCUCCUGUUUGUGCUCAUCCCACGUACGUACACCGUUUCCAUUCCACAGCUAUAAAAGUUCUUCAACUAAUGGCCUUAGGUACACAUCAAUGUCGUUGCCGGGUUGCUUAGGGCCUUGGAUGAGAACUGGCAUCAUAAUGAACUUCCGCUUCAUGCACAUCCAAGAAGGAAGGUUAUACAUACAUAGAGUCAUGGGCUAGGUGCUGUGAUUGCUGCUCUGCUCCCCGAAAGGAUUAAUACCAUCCACGCUUAAACCAAACCAUACGUUCCUUGGGUCACUGUGACGCCCCCGAUUCAAUCGUACACUAAUCAUGCACGCAAAUGUGUACGAUCAAGAUCAGGGACUCACGGGAAGAUAUCACAACACAACUCUACAAAUAAAAUAAGUCAUACAAGCAUCAUAAUACAAGCCAGGGGCCUCGAGGGCUCGAAUACAAGUGCUCGAUCAUAGACGAGUCAGCGGAAGCAACAAUAUCUGAGUACAGACAUAAGUUAAACAAGUUGCCUUAAGAAGGCCAGCACAAACUGGGAUACAGAACGAAAGAGGCGCAGGCCUCCUGCCUGGGAUCCUCCUAACUAUUCCAGGUCGUCGUCAGCGGCCUGCACGUAGUAGUAGGCACCUCCAGUGUAGUAGGAAUCAUCGUCGACGGUGGCGUCUGGCUCCAGGGCUCCAGCAUCUGGUUGCGACAACCAGGUAGAAGGGAAAGGGGAAAAGAGGGAGAAAAGCAACCGUGAGUACUCAUCCAAAGUACUCGCAAGCAAGGAACUACACUACAUAUGCAUGGGUAUAUGUGUAAGGAGGCCAUAUCAGUGGACUGAACUGCAGAAUGCCAGAAUAAGAGGGGGAUAGCUAAUCCUGUCGAAGACUACGCUUCUGGCAGCCUCCGUCUUGCAGCAUAUAGAAGAGAAUAGAUUGUAGUCCUCCAAGUAGCAUCCUCAAGUAGCAUCUCCAAGUAGCAUCUCAUAGUAUAAUCCUACCCGGCGAUCCUCUCCUCGUUGCCCUGCGGAAAAGCGAUCACCGGGUUGUCUGUGGAACUUGGAAGGGUGUGUUUUAUUAAGUAUCCGGUUCUAGUUGUCAUAAGGUCAAGGUACAACUCCAAGUCGUCCUGUUACCGAAGAUCACGGCUAUUCGAAUAGAUUAACUUCCCUGCAGGGGUGCACCACAUAGCCCAACACGCUCGAUCCCAUUUGGCCGGACACACUUUCCUGGGUCAUGCCCGGCCUCGGAAGAUCAACACGUCGCAGCCCCACCUAGGCACAACAGAGAGGCCAGCACGCCGGUCUAAACCUAAGCGCACAGGGGUCUGGGCCCAUCGCCCAUAGCACACCUGCACGUUGCGUGGGCGGCCGGAAGCAGAACUAGCCCCCUUAAUACAAGAGCAGGCUUACGUUCCAAUCCAGCGCGCGCCGCUCCGUCGCUGACGUCUGAAGUGCUUCGGCUGAUACCACGACGUCGGGAUACCCAUAACUACUCCCACGUAGAUGGUUAGUGCGUAUAGGCUCGUAGCCAGACUCAGAUCAAAUACCAAGAUCUCGUUAAGCGUGUUAAGUAUCCGCGAACGCCGAACAGGGCCAGGCCCACCUGUCUCCUAGGUGGUCUCAACCUGCCCUGUCGCUCCGCCACAAAGUAACAGUCGAGGGCCGUCGGGAACCCAGGCCCACCUCUACCGGGAUGGAACCACCUGCCCCUUCAGCCCCCAACUCCGAACAGUAUCACAGGUAAUGUAACAGUGUAAAGUAUAUAGUAUAUGCCCGUGAUCACCUCCCGAAGUGAUCACAGCCCAGUAGUAUAGCAUGGCAGACUGACAAGAAUGUAGGGCCAAUGAUGAUAAACUAGCAUCCUAUACUAAGCAUUUAGGAUUGCAGGUAAGGUAUCAACAGAUGUAGCGACAAUGUCAGGCUAUGCAUCAGAAUAGGAUUAACGAAAGCAGUAACAUGCUACACUACUCUAAUGCAAGCAGUAUAGAGGAGAAUAGGCGAUAUCUGGUGAUCAAGGGGGGGGGGCUUGCCUGGUUGCUCAGACAAGGAGGGGUCGUCGGUGACGUAGUCGUACUCGGUGGCAUCAGCGUCGGUCUCGUAGUCUACCGGAGAGAAGAGGGGGAAGAAAUAAUGAAUACAGAGCAAACAAAGCAUCACAAAAUAUAACAAGGCAAUACGCGGUGUUCGGUGUGCCCUAACACGGUAGUAGGUGAUACCGGUGAAGGGGGGAAAACCCCCGGGAAAGUAUUCCCGGUGUUUCGUGUUUUCGGGCAGAGGAGCCGGAGGGGGAAAGUUGCGGGUUCGAUAGGUUAGGGGUGUGUGGCGGACGAACGGACCGCGUAUCCGGAUUCGUCUCGUCGUUCUGAACAACUUUCAUGUUGAAAACAUUUUAAUCCGAGUUACGGAUUAAAAGAUAUGAUUUUCUAAAGAUUUUAUUAAUUUCUGAAAUUUAAUUAUUUAUUUAAUUAAUUCGAAAAAAUGUAUUAAUGACGUCAGCAUGAUGUCAUGCUGACGUCAGCAGUCAACAGGGGUUGGCUGAGUCAACCCUGACAUGUGGGUCCCGUUCGUCAUUGACUGUUUAGUCAAAUUAAUGUUUAGCUAAUCUAAUCACUGUUUAAUUAAACUAAUUAGUUAAUUAGGUUAAUCUAAUUAUGAUUAAUUAACUUAAUUAAUUCCUUAAUUAAUUAAUUAGUUUAAUUAUUAUUUAUUUAUUUAAUAUCUUUUUUUAAUUCUUUUUUUUUCUUUUUCUUUUUUUUUAUAAAACCGCUCUGGGGCUGGGGUGUGGGACCCCACAUGUCAUAGGCCUAAGUGCCUUAGCGGGCGCACGGUUACGGGCGCCGGGUGGGUCGGGCGACGAGCGCCAGCCCGACGAGGCGCCGCGGGGCAGCGGGCGUGCGGCCUGGCUCCGACGACCGGAGCAGGGCGGCGCGGUUGGCUGAGAGGAUCGCCGCAGCGGACGGCUGACGUAGCGGGAGUGGGAUGAGGCGUCGGANNNNNNNNNNNNNNNNNNNNNNNNNNNNNNNNNNNNNNNNNNNNNNNNNNNNNNNNNNNNNNNNNNNNNNNNNNNNNNNNNNNNNNNNNNNNNNNNNNNNNNNNNNNNNNNNNNNNNNNNNNNNNNNNNNNNNNNNNNNNNNNNNNNNNNNNNNNNNNNNNNNNNNNNNNNNNNNNNNNNNNNNNNNNNNNNNNNNNNNNNNNNNNNNNNNNNNNNNNNNNNNNNNNNNNNNNNNNNNNNNNNNNNNNNNNNNNNNNNNNNNNNNNNNNNNNNNNNNNNNNNNNNNNNNNNNNNNNNNNNNNNNNNNNNNNNNNNNNNNNNNNNNNNNNNNNNNNNNNNNNNNNNNNNNNNNNNNNNNNNNNNNNNNNNNNNNNNNNNNNNNNNNNNNNNNNNNNNNNNNNNNNNNNNNNNNNNNNNNNNNNNNNNNNNNNNNNNNNNNNNNNNNNNNNNNNNNNNNNNNNNNNNNNNNNNNNNNNNNNNNNNNNNNNNNNNNNNNNNNNNNNNNNNNNNNNNNNNNNNNNNNNNNNNNNNNNNNNNNNNNUUUCUCUCCUCGCCCCUUUUUUUUGUUUCAUUUCAUUUCUGUUUUUAUUUAUUCGUUCCUGUUUUAUCUUAGUUACAUUUUAUUCUAGUUUUAGUAAAAUAUACACUUAGCAUCUAAAUUAGUAUCUCAACUUAAGUCCAUAGUCACAAAAGUCUAGUCCCCAAAUAGCUUAGUUUGAAAUUUUAUUAACUAUAAAAGGUAUUUAAAUAUUCGUUUUUGCUACUGUUUUAAUUAAUAUAGUGCACUUAAAUACUUUACAGAAGUGUGGUUCCUUCAGCAAUAUUUAGUAUGGAAUAUUUGCCACAACCCGAACAUUUUUGUUUUAUUGUUUUGAAAACUUUUGUUGUGUGUUUUUAUUUUAAAUUUUGAACUGGGUCUCAUACUGACGCGAGUUUAUCAACAGUAACCGAGGGGACGUGGCAUCAUUAGCGAUGGUUCACUGUAGCUUAACUAUCCGGGCGUCACAAUUCUCCUCCACUACAAGAAAUCUCGUCCCGAGAUUUAAGAGGGGUCUAAGGGGGAAACAUUUGGUUACGAAAUUCUAACAAAGCUUCUCGGUCUUGGUUGCUCCUCUCAAAGUGGUCGAUCCAUUAUAUUGAUGUCUUCAUUUUUCUGCUUCAGGUCAUCAAGAUGAAGUCGAUAUCCUUUCUUUGGGGGUUCCAUCGUACUUACGAAAGAAUAAGGGGGUGGGCAUACAGGGAGAACGAACCUCUGCAAGGUUAACUAUCUGGUCGAUAAUAUCGGGGAAGGUGGCGGAAAGUAACCCUCGAAUUGAAACUUAACGAAUUAUCAAGAGCAAAGUAAGAAAGUACCACGAGAAGUUCCAAGCGGGUAGGUAAUCGUUCGAUGCCUGUUACAAGGCGUGAAAGGGGUUCAGAGCAACGGGAAUAAGCAUUGCGUCUGAUACCAGAAUAGAUCACUAGGAAGGUGGCUCGUGAUCUUUCAUACGAAGCCAAGCGUGCGGGUUAGCUUUAGGAACAGGGGUGCAGGAGAUUCAGGUUUUGAUCCUGUGGAACUGUGGGUUAUGGGCCCACCAUGUGGGUUAAACGUUGAGAGAGCGGUGACAUCUUGCACGGUUAUGACAGCAAGGCAUGCCAGAGAAUAACCUGUCAGUUAUGUCGGUAACAACGUCGAUACCAAGGGCGAGGGACGAAGAGAACCAUUUUCCUGCUCGUUGAACGAGGCGGACCAAUAGGCAAAGUUCUCGUCCAUCGGCGGCUACCGGAAUGUCAUCAACAAUAGUAUCAGGGUUACACCAGACAAGAUGGUACACCGAGGUGUUUACUUGAGCAGGGAUAUUACUGCUUAUAUUAUAUAGAUCACAAUAAGGUUUAAACAAACCAAUGGAAGGAAAAUAUGAUCAUCAGAUUAAACAGAACAAUGGAAAGGAAAAUAUGUUUAAACACAUAUUUCGAGGGUAUAUCCUUCCCAAGGACAAGCAAAGCAAGAUAUCCAUGACAGGAUAUAAAGUAGAAAACCAUUUAGGAAAGGGGGGAGGAAUCUCAUGAUAUUACUCAUACAACGGUGUUAGGAUAAUUGAUAAUUAAAAUAUAGCAUCGUGCUUCAAACGUGCCUGUUGAAAAUCGGAGUACCAUUGACAUGCUUCGAGAUAGCAGUGACAUGGUCUUCAGGUGAAGAUCNNNNNNNNNNNNNNNNNNNNNNNNNNNNNNNNNNNNNNNNNNNNNNNNNNNNNNNNNNNNNNNNNNNNNNNNNNNNNNNNNNNNNNNNNNNNNNNNNNNNNNNNNNNNNNNNNNNNNNNNNNNNNNNNNNNNNNNNNNNNNNNNNNNNNNNNNNNNNNNNNNNNNNNNNNNNNNNNNNNNNNNNNNNNNNNNNNNNNNNNNNNNNNNNNNNNNNNNNNNNNNNNNNNNNNNNNNNNNNNNNNNNNNNNNNNNNNNNNNNNNNNNNNNNNNNNNNNNNNNNNNNNNNNNNNNNNNNNNNNNNNNNNNNNNNNNNNNNNNNNNNNNNNNNNNNNNNNNNNNNNNNNNNNNNNNNNNNNNNNNNNNNNNNNNNNNNNNNNNNNNNNNNNNNNNNNNNNNNNNNNNNNNNNNNNNNNNNNNNNNNNNNNNNNNNNNNNNNNNNNNNNNNNNNNNNNNNNNNNNNNNNNNNNNNNNNNNNNNNNNNNNNNNNNNNNNNNNNNNNNNNNNNNNNNNNNNNNNNNNNNNNGAAUAAGUCUUACAAUUUCCUCAUGGAUGAAUGGAUAACCUUGCUGAAAAGGAAUCUAUAAUGAUAGGUCCUCCAGCCGGGGGGGGGGGUGCUAGGCAUGACAUCAUGUUACCGGGUCAUCAAAGGAUCAACGUCAUAACUCUUGGAAAGUUGUCCCAACCAUCAUACCUGACCGAGAUUCAGAUCCGAUUGGUGUCAGGAUACCUGAGACUCAGGAUGUCCGAGAAGAAAAGGCGCAACACAAAUCGUUGAAAUGGCAUUGCAAGCUUCUCAGGAAAUGAACUAUGGGAGCGGGUUUCUAAAGCAAUAGUUCACCAUUAAACCAAGGAGAGGACAAGGAGGCGUCUGGUGAACUCAACGGCAAUUCACCGAUAUUCCCAAAAGAUGGAUUUCCACCAUUAGGUGAACAAGGAGAUAACAUUGUCAGAUCAAAAGAUAUAAGGAAGUAUGCUCGAGGAAAACAUACACAAUUAAACAUUGGUUGAAAGGUGCGCCCGAAAUGUGGAUUGGGUUGCACGACCAAUGUCAGAAUGGUGAUUUAAUUAGCGAAGGACUUAGAAUGAACUAUCGAUCAUUAACUUCAAAGCAAUAGGGUUGCUAGAAGUGCAUAAUCCAAACAACACCGUUCACUUGUGGGUACCCCGGUUGGAAUCAACACGAGGACCAAGAAAGAAUGGUGAUGGUGAGAAGUAUCAUUAUAGCAAGAAUUCUUAAGAGGUGGAGCAAUCCUCACAACAUUCUUAACAUGAAAGAUGGUAAUACUCGGCGGUAGAAUAUAACAUAAGUUGGAUAGCAAGGAACUCAAGGUAUAACAACAAACAUGAACAAGCUUGUGUUGGUGGGAAGGCAAUAAAGUGGUCGAUGAUAAUACAAUUCAUCGAGGCAAGGAUGGUAUUUCUUAUCAUGAAUACAAUUGAUAUCCUGGAUGAGCUCAGAAUGUUGACGAUCACGACACCUUUGUCGCGAGAGUUCAUGAAGAUGUAAUCGAUCGGCGACGACAUCAAGUCAAAGUAAUGAUGAAGUGAAAGGUUAUUGGAACCAAGGGUAUGACACAAACUCGAAACCAAGCUGGUUGUUUAAGGUGAAAGGGUAUGACGAGGAAAAUCGACGUAAGCUUAGCUAUCGUCGCAAAUUGGUGCUCCGAGAAUAAGGACCAGGUAGCACAGGUAGAAUCGUCACGACAAUGAUAUAGCCAAACAGGCUAGGAAUGGCGUGAUCGGGUACAAACUCGUACUUAUAGAAGCUUACUGAAGAGUUGUUGAACCGAAGAGCGGACUUAGUUCAGUUAUCGGUGUCUUUGAGUGUUCAAUAACUCAGAGCCCGCGAAAAAUUGGAAUCGGUGGGAAGGUAGCACUUGAUGAAGAACUCAUAAAAAGUUAUGCAGUUCCAUGAUAAUCUCGAGAUACCAGGGGGGUAAUACUCAACACAAGAUCAAAGUAAAGGUUGGACUGGUCUAUUGAUCCAUAGAAGACAAUUGUUUUAACUUGUCCGAGAAAUGAGAUCAAAGAAGAACAAUCAUGGUCGGAACCACGGUUGCAAAAAGGCCAGAUCUCAGAUAUAAGAUGAACUUAUACCAAGGGAAUAAUUGAUUUUAAAAGAAGCUUCGAUGAGAAGAUGUACAUCGUGUCCAUGGGCAUGAACGCAAAGUUCAAGGUCGACUCCCACUUCUCCAAUGCAUAACCUUUCAUUCACUUCUCACAUUCGAUGAAGUUGCAGUGUUGAAAUUUUAUCUGGUGAAGCACCAGAAGAGUAUGACUCGUGAAAACUUUCGGGUUCACACGGUUUAGAGAAGGCAUAUGUUCAACCCAUAGGGGCUUCUUAGAAACAUAUACCACAAGUUUCAAGAGUAAAUAACACAAGCCCGAAAGCAGAGCAUGGUUGGCCAAGCAGAGGAUACAACUUAACAAGGGCAUUAUGUAUCAGGGGAAGAACUCACAAGGUGAUCAAAUGUGAAGGACACUAUCGGAUAACAAUCCAACAAAGGACUUGAUGGUCCACAAAGGAUCUGAUACGAGUAUCGGUACUCAACUAGAGGAAGAAGAAUGCAAGGAGAUCAGAUUAUAGAAACAACUGACUAACUCAAUUGUCAAAUGCAAAGGAAUUUUGAUUUCCAAUUCAAGGGAUCAGAAGCAAUGCUCUGAUUAGGGAUGGAUAAGUUGAAUAACCUUACGGUACAAUCAAUGACAAUUGGAUUGGUCGAGAACCAAUUCCAGUUAAAAGAAUGGCAGCUUAGCCGGAGAAGUAAUUUAUAAGGAUCAAUGAUGAUUGCGUGCAUUCGCAAACAUAUUGAGUCAGCAGACUCAAAAUGAUAAUGACAAGGAAUGUCAUUAAGACUACGAGACUUAUGGGAUUAACCAUAAUGCGAGCAAGCAAGAAUUUCAAGAGCCAAAGGCUCCAGAGGAUUUUCGGAAGAUCGAAUAGUAUUUUGAAGACUUUUGUGAAACUCAUGAACAACUGGGGAUGAGCGGAUACUCGGCAAGCGCGAGUAAUUAUCCGUAGGGGUAUUCAUGCAGCAAGGAACUGCAGGGCAGUAAGUGCAAAGUAUUUUCGGAACAGUAAAGAAACUUCGGGGUAUCUUGUAAUAACAAGAUCAAUGGGGGAUGAUCGUAUGAAUGGCAAGUGUAAGUAGUUAUCCAUACGGAUUUAUCGGUGGUCAGGAAUAGCAAAAGUGAUGGGCACAAAGUCUCGAGAGCACAUCGUAGAGUAUCUUCGGAAUCUUCUGGUGCAGCAGGCGGUCAUCGGUAACAAGUGGCUCUCCGGGAGAAAGUACUUGCGAGAACCUAAAGUUAGUUUUGUUUUUUAGCAAAAAUCGUUUAACCCGAAUAGAAGAGGGUUCAGAAUCCCAGAGUAAAGGUCGAGGAAUAAAAGAUCCUAAUACCUCCCGAUGGCGACGUGGGCCCAUGGGCCACACAGCCAUGUUAGUAAAAGUUUUUCAACGACUAGACUCGACUUCGGCCAAGGAGUGUGGAAGGGGAUUUCCUACAGGCAGUCGGCUCUGAUACCAACUUGUGACGCCCCCGAUUCAAUCGUACACUAACCAUGCACGCAAAUAUGUACGAUCAAGAUCAGGGACUCACGGGAAGAUAUCACAACACAACUCUACAAAUAAAAUAAGUCAUACAAGCAUCAUAAUACAAGCCAGGGGCCUCGAGGGCUCGAAUACAAGUGCUCGAUCAUAGACGAGUCAGCGGAAGCAACAAUAUCUGAGUACAGACAUAAGUUAAACAAGUUGCCUUAAGAAGGCCAGCACAAACUGGGAUACAGAACGAAAGAGGCGCAGGCCUCCUGCCUGGGAUCCUCCUAACUACUCCAGGUCGUCGUCAGCGGCCUGCACGUAGUAGUAGGCACCUCCAGUGUAGUAGGAAUCAUCGUCGAUGGUGGCGUCUGGCUCCAGGGCUCCAGCAUCUGGUUGCGACAACCAGGUAGAAGGGAAAGGGGAAAAGAGGGAGAAAAGCAACCGUGAGUACUCAUCCAAAGUACUCGCAAGCAAGGAACUACACUACAUAUGCAUGGGUAUAUGUGUAAGGAGGCCAUAUCAGUGGACUGAACUGCAGAAUGCCAGAAUAAGAGGGGGAUAGCUAAUCCUGUCGAAGACUACGCUUCUGGCAGCCUCCGUCUUGCAGCAUAUAGAAGAGAAUAGAUUGUAGUCCUCCAAGUAGCAUCCUCAAGUAGCAUCUCCAAGUAGCAUCUCAUAGUAUAAUCCUACCCGGCGAUCCUCUCCUCGUCGCCCUGCGGAAAAGCGAUCACCGGGUUGUCUGUGGAACUUGGAAGGGUGUGUUUUAUUAAGUAUCCGGUUCUAGUUGUCAUAAGGUCAAGGUACAACUCCAAGUCGUCCUGUUACCGAAGAUCACGGCUAUUCGAAUAGAUUAACUUCCCUGCAGGGGUGCACCACAUAGCCCAACACGCUCGAUCCCAUUUGGCCGGACACACUUUCCUGGGUCAUGCCCGGCCUCGGAAGAUCAACACGUCGCAGCCCCACCUAGGCACAACAGAGAGGCCAGCACGCCGGUCUAAACCUAAGCGCACAGGGGUCUGGGCCCAUCGCCCAUAGCACACCUGCACGUUGCGUGGGCGGCCGGAAGCAGAACUAGCCCCCUUAAUACAAGAGCAGGCUUACGUUCCAAUCCAGCGCGCGCCGCUCCGUCGCUGACGUCUGAAGUGCUUCGGCUGAUACCACGACGUCGGGAUACCCAUAACUACUCCCACGUAGAUGGUUAGUGCGUAUAGGCUCGUAGCCAGACUCAGAUCAAAUACCAAGAUCUCGUUAAGCGUGUUAAGUAUCCGCGAACGCCGAACAGGGCCAGGCCCACCUGUCUCCUAGGUGGUCUCAACCUGCCCUGUCGCUCCGCCACAAAGUAACAGUCGAGGGCCGUCGGGAACCCAGGCCCACCUCUACCGGGAUGGAGCCACCUGUCCUUUCAGCCCCCUCGUCAGAAUCACUUGCGGGUACUCAAUGAGCUGACCCGACUUUAGUCACCAUCUGUAUAGUAUGUAUGUAUGUAUAGUAUAUACCCGUGAUCACCUCCCAAGUGAUCACGGCCCGAUAGUAUAGCAUGGCAGACUGACAAGAAUGUAGGGCCAAUGAUGAUAAACUAGCAUCCUAUACUAAGCAUUUAGGAUUGCAGGUAAGGUAUCAACAGAUGUAGCGACAAUGUCAGGCUAUGCAUCAGAAUAGGAUUAACGAAAGCAGUAACAUGCUACACUACUCUAAUGCAAGCAGUAUAGAGGAGAAUAGGCGAUAUCUGGUGAUCAAGGGGGGGGGGCUUGCCUGGUUGCUCAGACAAGGAGGGGUCGUCGGUGACGUAGUCGUACUCGGUGGCAUCAGCGUCGGUCUCGUAGUCUACCGGAGAGAAGAGGGGGAAGAAAUAAUGAAUACAGAGCAAACAAAGCAUCACAAAAUAUAACAAGGCAAUACGCGGUGUUCGGUGUGCCCUAACACGGUAGUAGGUGAUACCGGUGAAGGGGGGAAAACCCCCGGGAAAGUAUUCCCGGUGUUUCGUGUUUUCGGGCAAAGGAGCCGGAGGGGGAAAGUUGCGGGUUCGAUAGGUUAGGGGUGUGUGGCGGACGAACGGACCGCGUAUCCGGAUUCGUCUCGUCGUUCUGAACAACUUUCAUGUUGAAAACAUUUUAAUCCGAGUUACGGAUUAAAAGAUAUGAUUUUCUAAAGAUUUUAUUAAUUUCUGAAAUUUAAUUAUUUAUUUAAUUAAUUCGAAAAAAUGUAUCAAAGACGUCAGCAUGAUGUCAUGCUGACGUCAGCAGUCAACAGGGGUUGGCUGAGUCAACCCUGACAUGUGGGUCCCGUUCAUCAUUGACUGUUUAGUCAAAUUAAUGUUUAGCUAAUCUAAUCACUGUUUAAUUAAACUAAUUAGUUAAUUAGGUUAAUCUAAUUAUGAUUAAUUAACUUAAUUAAUUCCUUAAUUAAUUAAUUAGUUUAAUUAUUAUUUAUUUAUUUAAUAUCUUUUUUUUUAAUUCUUUUUUUUUCUUUUUCUUUUUUUUUAUAAAACCGCUCUGGGGCUGGGGUGUGGGACCCCACAUGUCAUAGGCCUAAGUGCCUUAGCGGGCGCACGGUUACGGGCGCCGGGUGGGUCGGGCGACGAGCGCCAGCCCGACGAGGCGCCGCGGGGCAGCGGGCGUGCGGCCUGGCUCCGACGACCGGAGCAGGGCGGCGCGGUUGGCUGAGAGGAUCGCCGCAGCGGACGGCUGACGUAGCGGGAGUGGGAUGAGGCGUCGGACGACGACGGCGCCCCGGGCAGACGCGGCCAGGAGCCGCAGGGCAGAGACGGCGGUGGGAGUCGGCAGCAGGGGCGACGGGCGUCGUGGCUACGGCUGGAUGGCGCGGGUCACGCGCGCGGGGGCGCNNNNNNNNNNNNNNNNNNNNNNNNNNNNNNNNNNNNNNNNNNNNNNNNNNNNNNNNNNNNNNNNNNNNNNNNNNNNNNNNNNNNNNNNNNNNNNNNNNNNNNNNNNNNNNNNNNNNNNNNNNNNNNNNNNNNNNNNNNNNNNNNNNNNNNNNNNNNNNNNNNNNNNNNNNNNNNNNNNNNNNNNNNNNNNNNNNNNNNNNNNNNNNNNNNNNNNNNNNNNNNNNNNNNNNNNNNNNNNNNNNNNNNNNNNNNNNNNNNNNNNNNNNNNNNNNNNNNNNNNNNNNNNNNNNNNNNNNNNNNNNNNNNNNNNNNNNNNNNNNNNNNNNNNNNNNNNNNNNNNNNNNNNNNNNNNNNNNNNNNNNNNNNNNNNNNNNNNNNNNNNNNNNNNNNNNNNNNNNNNNNNNNNNNNNNNNNNNNNNNNNNNNNNNNNNNNNNNNNNNNNNNNNNNNNNNNNNNNNNNNNNNNNNNNNNNNNNNNNNNNNNNNNNNNNNNNNNNNNNNNNNNNNNNNNNNNNNNNNNNNNNNNNNNNNNNNNNNNNNNNNNNNNNNNNNNNNNNNNNNNNNNNNNNNNNNNNNNNNNNNNNNNNNNNNNNNNNNNNNNNNNNNNNNNNNNNNNNNNNNNNNNNNNNNNNNNNNNNNNNNNNNNNNNNNNNNNNNNNNNNNNNNNNNNNNNNNNNNNNNNNNNNNNNNNNNNNNNNNNNNNNNNNNNNNNNNNNNNNNNNNNNNNNNNNNNNNNNNNNNNNNNNNNNNNNNNNNNNNNNNNNNNNNNNNNNNNNNNNNNNNNNNNNNNNNNNNNNNNNNNNNNUUUCUCUCCUCGCCCCUUUUUUUUGUUUCAUUUCAUUUCUGUUUUUAUUUAUUCGUUCCUGUUUUAUCUUAGUUACAUUUUAUUCUAGUUUUAGUAAAAUAUACACUUAGCAUCUAAAUUAGUAUCUCAACUUAAGUCCAUAGUCACAAAAGUCUAGUCCCCAAAUAGCUUAGUUUGAAAUUUUAUUAACUAUAAAAGGUAUUUAAAUAUUCGUUUUUGCUACUGUUUUAAUUAAUAUAGUGCACUUAAAUACUUUACAGAAGUGUGGUUCCUUCAGCAAUAUUUAGUAUGGAAUAUUUGCCACAACCCGAACAUUUUUGUUUUAUUGUUUUGAAAACUUUUGUUGUGUGUUUUUAUUUUAAAUUUUGAACUGGGUCUCAUACUGACGCGAGUUUAUCAACAGUAACCGAGGGGACGUGGCAUCAUUAGCGAUGGUUCACUGUAGCUUAACUAUCCGGGCGUCACAGUCACUUGCAAACUCAGGCCAGUACUUUCUCUCUAUUUUUCUCCACUUCGACCCGUCAGCGGGUGCUCUCAACUUCCCGUCUUUCUUACGGUCCUCACUGUGCCAUCGCAUCAACUUGGCAUGCUCUUCGUUUCUGAACAGAUGUUUCAACCGCGAUAUUAUAGGAGAAUACCACAUCACCUUCGCAGGAACCCUCUUCCUGGGGGGCUCGCUGUCAACAUCACCAGGGUCAUCUCGUCUGAUCUUAUACCGCAAUGCACCGCAUACCGGGCACGCGUUCAGAUACUUGUACGCACCGCGGUAGAAGAUGCAGUCAUUAGGGCAUGCAUGUAUCUUCUGCACCUCCAAUCCUAGAGGGCAUACAACCUUCUUUGCUGCGUAUGUACUAUCGGGCAAUUCGUUAUCCUUUGGAAGCUUCUUCUUCAAUAUUUUCAGUAGCUUCUCAAAUCCUUUGUCAGGCACAGCAUUCUCGGCCUUCCACUGCAACAAUUCCAGUACGGUACCGAGCUUUGUGUUGCCAUCUUCGCAAUUGGGGUACAGCCCUUUUUUGUGAUCCUCUAACAUGCGAUCGAACUUCAGCUUCUCCUUUUGACUUUCGCAUUGCGUCCUUGCAUCGACAAUGACCCGGCGGAGAUCAUCAUCAUCGGGCACAUCGUCUGGUUCCUCAUGAUCUUCAGCAGCUUCCCCCGUUGCAGCAUCAUUGGGCACAUCGUCUGGUUCCUCUUGAUCUUCAGCAGCUUCCCCCGUUGCAGCAUCACCGUAUUCAGGGGGCACAUAGUUGUCAUCAUCCUCUUCUUCGCCGUCUUCCAUCAUAACCCCUAUUUCUCCGUGCCUCGUCCAAACAUUAUAGUGUGGCAUGAAACCAUUGUAAAGCAGGUGGGUGUGAAGGAUUUUCCGGUCAGAGUAAGACUUCGUAUUCCCACAUUUAGGGCAUGGACAACACAUAAAACCAUUCUGCUUGUUUACCUCAGCCACUUCGAGAAAAUCAUGCACGCCCUUAAUGUACUUGGAGGUGUGUCUGUCACCGUACAUCCAUUGCCAGUUCAUCUGCGUGCAUUAUAUAUAAUUAAGUGUGUCAAAAACCAUUAUAGAACAUCAUGAAUAGAUAAUUAAGUGACCAAAUUAAUAGAAGUUUAUCGUCACAUUAAAACCAAAGUACAUACAUAGUUCUCAUCUAACAACAUAUAGCUCUCCAGAGCAUCUAAUUAAUUAAACCAUACAUUAAAACUAUGUAAAACAUUUCAAUGCGAAAACAAAUGCGAUCAUAAUCGCAACCAAGGUAACAAUUGAUCCAACAGCAUAAUGAUACCAAGCCUCGGUAUGAAUGGCAUAUUUUCUAAUCUUUCUAAUCUUCAAUCACAUUGCAUCCAUCUUGAUCUUGUGAUCAUCGACGACAUCCGCAACAUGCAACUCCAAUAUCAUCUUCUCCUCCUCAAUUUGUUUCCUUCAAGUAAUUGUUUUCUUCUUCAACUAAAUUUAACCUCUCGACAAUAGGGUUGGUUGGAAUUUCCGGUUCAACUACCUCCUACAUAAAUAAAAUCUAUGUCACGUUGGUCGGCAUAAUUGUCAUAAACAAUAAAUGAACCAAAUAGUUAUAAAAAGAUAAUAUAUAUACCACAUCCGAAUCAUAGACAGGACGAGGGCCGACAGGGGCGGAUACCAAAACCAUCGCAUUAUAUAUUAACAAGCAAUAAAAUAGUAAGAAAAUUAGACAAGUAUCUAACUAAAGUAAGAAUUUUUUCUUUCAGAAAGAAGAUAAGAACAAGAGGCUCACCACGGUGGUGCCGGUGACGAGAUCGGCGCGGGCGAUCGACGGCGGUGAAGACGGGAAUGGGACAUGACGGGCCGCUAAACCUAGACAAAUCUCGAGGAAAAUGGAGCUUUGAGGUCGAGCUUCGAGAGGAGAAGGCUUAACUAGUGUGGCUCGGGCAUUUCAUCGAACACCUCAUGUGCAUAGGAGGUGAGCUAGAGCACCACAAAGCCCCCCCCUCGCCGGCCAGAGAAAAAUAGAGCACUGGAGUGCUCUGCUCGCGGGCGAGGGGUGUAUAUAGGCACCUCAUUGGUCCCGGUUCGUGACAUGAACCGGGACUAAAGGGUAGCCUGUGGUCCCGGUUCAAGCCACCAACCGGGACCAAUGGUGGUGGGCCAGGAGCGAGGCCCAUUGGUCCCGGUUCGUCCCACCAAUCGGGAUCAAAGGGGCCAGGCGAACCAGGACCAAUGCCCCCACGAGGCCCGGCAGGCCCCUGGCCUCACGAACCGGGACCAAUGCCCUCAUGGGUCCCGGUUCUGGACUGAACCGGGACUAAUGGGCUAACCUGGCCUGAACCAAAGCCCUCUUUUCUACUAGUGAUUAUUUGAGAUUGAUUGUCAACAUGGCAUCAUCUUGCAGGAUGAUAGAAUUAAAACCAUAAAUAUUUGGUUUGUGCAAAACUACUCAAAUGAGCUAUGGGCACUGGAGCAUUACAUCGAGUUGUCAAUGGUAACACAUCCAUGAUAAGUUACAUGGUUCUGUCAAAAGGGAGAUGUGAUACUUCCGUGUAGCGAUUUUACCCAUAUCAUUCACCAUGACAAUGAGGACAAUAUGAUCAAGGAGUUGACAUGCGAGUCAAAUGAUCUCAUCAUCACUGAAUAUGACUUACCUUAUUUCCGAGAGAAAAAGGACAACGCUCGAGACAGCAGACACACUUUCUCAAAGGUCUCUAAGAAGUUAAUCCACAUUUUCUUGCUGCGUGCAUGCCUCGUUAGUCAGUAUUUAUAUCUUCUAGUGGUGUCACGUGAAAAUACCAAAGCAGUCAUUAUAGAUACAACCAAUGACCGCUCUGUUGAAAUUGAUGUCACUUAAAGUUUCAUAAAUAGUGUCAUGUGAGUAACCAGAGCAGACAUCAUAGAUGCAAAUGGAGGGAGAUGUAAUUGCAGUAUCAAAGGUUUCAGAUAGCCACUCAUGAUAAUGAAUUGUGCAAUGAUUUUGUAGGAAAAUAGAAUAAGUACAUCAAAACCAAACUAAAAUUCUUUUGUUUCCAAAGGGAUUCUAAUAGAAUGGGGGUAAAAUUUUCACUUUCAUGCUCGUAUGUCCGCCUAACCUAUGCAAUCUUUUCUAUAUAAUAAUCAAAUCUAGUCUGCAUGACUCACUUGAUUUUUGAUAAAUGAAAUACUUGGUUGCUUAAAAUACAUUGGCUGUAGAAAAGCGAGUUAUUUGUUGAUGAUGCAAAAGCAUGGAUGGUAGCUCUACGCGAUAUAUAUUUUAUGUGUGGUUUUGUGAUCUCUACUUUAUUUGUUAUGCCUAAUCCUACCUUGUAACUUCAUUCCGGUUCUUGUUCUAGCAUGGGCUCUAUUAUAAUGAGCAGGGAAAGAACGCGUUCAUAAGCAUCUUGUUCUCUUUAGACAAGAAAGAAAACGCUAUGCUCUGAACAGGUUUGAAUGCAAUUGGAAGACCUACUUAAUUCCAGACUAUUAUUUUUGUUGAUAGUUAGUUUUGAUUUUGUUUUAGUUCCAUCAACAAGCUUGAUGGUUUACUUUAAACCUUAUAUGGUUUAUUUUAACAGAAUAUAUGUUGCAAAGAGUUGGUAAUUGCAAACAAUAAGAAAAUGAGCCCACGACAUGGCGAAUCACAUGCAAAUGUUUUUGUCAUGGUUUACCGUCGAAGUCACAACACCAUAGUGGCCGCCCGACCAGAUAGAUAACACAUGCAACCUUCAAAAGCCAGCGGUCACAAGGGUAGUAUGAAUUCUAACCAGAUUGUGCAGGAAGAAGACAAAACUGUCAAGGGCUCACACUCAUCUCAUGUUAAGACUCGGCCAGCCAAGCAAAUGGACAAUUUUUAGCUUCAGCAUAGUGCAGGAAGCUUUCAGCAAAGAAUAGCAGGGUGAUACCUCCUGCGUGUAAGUUCGAGACAGCAGAAGUUCAGACUGGAACAAGAUCCAAUUUUGAUCUAGUUAAUCUAUCGUGAACUCUGAAAUUAAAUGUUCUCAUCCACCAACAACCUGCGUCGAACAAAAUCAAAGGGUUUGAAGAAUGAAGACACACCAGAAUAAGCUGCUUGGCUGACCUAACACUAAAGGAAGCCCAUCCCGCUCCAACAGACAAUGUUUGAACUUUGAACAAUAUUGAUUUGACUCCUGAGUCCUGAUUCCCCAAUGUAAGCACUAUGUAGUAGCAAAGUACUCCCUCUAUUGUAUAAUACUUGUCGUGAUUUUAGAUCAAAUUUCAACUAAAACCACGAUAAGUAUUUUGGAAUGGAGGGAGUAAGAAUUAGUAGUACACUGCAGUAAGAUCUCACAAAUUUUACAAGCAAUGCUCAGAUUGGACCUGGCUUUCUUUUCCGAUUUAAAUUUACCAGUUUAGAAAAACAAUACAUAGGUAACAGUGAGCAAUUAUGAAGCAAAUCACUCUACAUAUUAGCAACUCAAAGCAAGCCUUGGAGUGCUAACAACAUGAUAGGUAAUGCACUAGAAGAAUCUGCACGAGUUACAAUAUGGUCAGCAAAAAUAUAAGAUGCCUCAGAAAUAGAUUUAGUAGGACAACAACUUAGAAUCUUAACUAGUGAGAAGUCAAGUAGAAAAUAUUGGUCAUGGGCAGCUUAAACGAAGAUAUUAGCCAUGGAUAGCUUAAGCAAAACAAAAAUGAACAGUGGAGCUGCAUGACUAGUAAGUACUCUAGUAGUAGUAAUGAACAACUAACUUGUGUGCAUCAUUACCCAUAUCUACCUACAAACAUAUCAUUUCAGUGAAUUAUGCUAUUAUCUACCUCAUGGGAAAGGGAAAUCCUCUUCCUAUCUAAAAGGAGAAAAGGAAAGAAAAGGUAGUUUGUCUAGCUCUAUUAAGCUGCACAUAUAGAGUUAUAGAGUGAAACAACAAUGGAACACCAUGCAGAUUGUUUACCCCCUGUAAAUGCAGCGGUUAUUCUGCCAUGUUCUAUUACUAAAUUGAAAACUUUCCUAAUCAGGCGAAUGAAAGAGUAAUAGUUUCAAAUGCAGAAUAACAGCACGACAUCGAUAUUUGACAUCGAAAGAUACCAAUUUAAAGGAAAUAAAAAUAGUUUGGCAUAGAUAAGACACUUGUACGAUGUAAAUGGAAAUAAAAGGAGUUUGACAUCUCUUAGAUUCACCCAGCAUAUGGCUAACAAGGUGGCAUUAAUAAUGACCAAUUAGAGGGCACCUUACAGAUUCUCUAUGCUUAACCAGCAUUGUUCAAAGCCACAAAACGCAUUAGACGUUGAGGACACAAACCGAUAGGAAGAUCAAACUGAACUAGACAUAGAAAGCUAGGAGAUAUCCAAGGCAGUGCCACAAACCAACAAGAUUAGGCCCAUACCCAACAACUUCUUUUAAUGAAGUGCCACGCUAAGGACAUUAAGCUGAAUGCAGUACUUUCAGUGACCAUCAGAAAACAACCAUUCAGCAAAACAUGGAAUGUAAGGCAGAACACCCUGGAAUUCUUGAGAAAAAGUGCAUGUAGCAUUGACUUUCUGAUUCUCCAUAUCAUAUGACACUGCCAUCUCCUCCUCAUCGGUAAGGAAAAUCAAAUCACAAUCUGGAUGAAUCGCGAACACCUUAUAGGACAUGUCAUCUUCGCCACGUUGCCUCCCGAACAGCUCUGAAACGUUGACAGUAUACUUGAGGGUCCAGUUUCCACCACCAGAAUCUUCAAGAACCCACACAUAGAGUUGGCAAUCAUGAUCGUUAUCAAUUUGCCACGCAUACAAGCGUCCUUGGGACUGCCCAAUGGAAGCCAAAUGAUUUUUGUUUGGCAUGUCCUCUGGCAUUUCAAUCUCCCUCCAGAUCUUCCCUUCCGCGUCGACCGUGACCACUGAGGCAUAAUGUGUAGCCAAAUGCAUAGUGCCAUUCAGGAAGACACAUUCUGAAUUCCCGACCAGAAUAGUUUUGUAACCCCACUCACUCUGCACCUUGUUCCAUCGUCCGGUUUCCGACGAGUAGAUGGCCAUCUCUGUGAAUUCGCAGAAACAGUUGGUCAGGGGCACAAACACCACAAAGCGGGACGGAGCUGCUGUGUCGAAACCCAAGAAGAUAUCCAUUAUUGGUUCGAAAUACACAAUGUCACCAUCCUCUUCGUCCAGCCAUACCACAGGAGGCAACACAGUCCACUGCCCGGUCAUAGGAUUGCACACGACGUAAUCGUAUUCGUCUUCCUCAUCAUGACGCGAUUCCCAGCACUUGCAAAGGAGGAGGCUGCUGCAGCACUGCUCGACAGAAAAGCAAUCGUAGCUCUCGCGCAAGAAAUGGAGCGAAGGGUCGACUAAUGGGGGGCCUCUUCCCGACAAAUUACGGAAAUUGAAACGCCCACGCUCGAUGAAGAAGAAGCCAGACAAGGUCUGCGGCGACCUCUUGUGGACUUCCGGAUCGGAGCAGAGGGCCAGCCAUGGCUUGGAGACGCACUUGAAGCGGCAGAGCGACCUGUAGGGCACCCUCGACAGGAUCUCGACAAUGGCGCCUUCAGGAAGAUCUGUAGGGCACCCGGGCUGCUGCUGCUGCUGCUGGUUGUUACAAAUGGAUCCAAAGGCAAUUCGUUUAGGUUCAGUUUAACGUCCGCUGUAUUGGAUUGGAUUCAAGAUUGGAAGAAGGCACUGUAGGGGAGCAUACCUCAGAGUCAGACGCUUCAUCGGUGGAGGGGAAUGGCGGCGUGGCGCUGUCGCGGCCUGGGUUGCCGGUCGACGGCGAAUGAUCCUGCUCCGAGCAGCCAUGGGGAAGGCUGGCCUGCUGCUCGUGCCCAUGCUCCUUCUUCAUCUACAGAUGGUGGACACGAUUCAUACAGGUUCUUUUCUUGGAUAGAACUAGAAGAUUGGGAGAAGGAAUAGUUAAAAAAGGAGGAAACCUCUGAACCUACCUCGGUGAUGGGGAACGGCGGCGGCGAAUGGCAGGGAACGUCCUCGCCGUGGCCUGGGUGAACAGUCGCCGGAGCAUGGCCCUGCUCCGUGCAGCCUUGCUCGCCGCCUCCUCGUCUUCCUUGCGGCAUCGCCUCCUCGAUCGAGGCUAGACUGGGUGGGUCGUCCUAGGCAGGCGGCGCGGCUCGCCGAGUCUCGAGGGUUUUCAAGGACAUCGUGGCUUUAUGGCUUCGUUUCCCCCCUUGAGAAGUGGAAUGGGCGCCUCACCCAAAAAAUCGAGUAGAAAAGAAAUGAAAACGUUUUGUGCUGACCGACCACCUACAAACUGCUACAUGUUAGGCCAACUCCAACACACGACCCAUUUCGUCCGGCCACACUUCGUUUGGAUUAUCGCGGCCCAACGCGCACCCGCAAACAGACAGGCGUCCAUAUUCUGUUCGUCUGUGACCCAUUUUCAACCCGAAAUUAGUUCACGUUUGCGUCGAAACGGACAGGACACAGACGGACGGGACGCGAGCCCUUGUCUUCCCCUUGCCAGCCCAUGGGGAACACAACAUUCUCAUUUCCACCUUCUUUCCCAAAAACCCUCUCACCCACCCCCGCCCCUUCCCAGUUCCAUGGCCGGUGCCCCGCAGCAACCCACCGUUGUCCUCUUGGACGCCAUCUCCACCCGUCCCGCGAUGAAAAAGAAGCCAAAGGUGGGGCUCGACCGAGUCAUUCAAGAAUCAUCCAAGAGGAGAGGGCCGCUGUUGCGGAGAGGAAAGCCGCAGCCCAGUAUGCUCUCAAGGCCGCUGCCGCACAACACAAGGCCGCUGUUGAGGCCAACGAGUCCCUUGUCGCCAAGGCCACACAGGCAACAACGCCACACUCCCUCCUCAUGCUAGGGUUUAGCCGACCCGCGCCGGCCACAUGCUCAUCAGCCGUUCGCCCUCCUCAUGCUAGGGUUUAGCCGACCCGCACCGGCCACAUGCUCAUCGGCCGUUCGCCCUCCACAGGGCCAGUCAAUGAGCUCCUCCUCAACACCACAAACGGGUGGCAUUUAUCUGGCACGAGCAUGGUGCAAACCGCUUCUCCAUGUCGCGGGACGGCAACAUGAUCGCCCCGUGCCGCCGACCGUCAUCGACCUCAAUGUCACGUGCUGGGUUGGGUGUCGCCGGUCAGUAAGCCAUCGGGAUGCAAAGCUAGCGGCCACAGGCGAUUGCUAUGGCCAACCUUCGCAACGACCGCAUCCUGUUCGACGGAUCACCCUACCGUCGCCGGGCAAGACGGCCCCAACUUCAACGCUUUCAUGGAGAAUGUCAUCUACGAGGGCCAUGGCCAAGCCUUCCACACCAAGGGCCAAGGCCAAGGCUUCGAUCCCGACAAGACCCAAAAGCGAAGACAGGCGUGACCAACAUGAAAAGGCCGACGACAUUGGCCAUGGCAACCAAGAUGAAGAGGCUGACAGCAUUGGCUGCGGCAACCAAGAUGAAGAGGCCGACAGUCAUAGCAACUCAUUGGCCAUGGCAACCAUGCAAAUGCAUACACAUUUUUUUUAACAUCAGUACAGACGCAAACGCUCAUACAUACACGCAUACACUCACCCCUAUGAACGCAAACAUACACACCCUACCUCUAUGAGCACCUCCGAGAGACUGAGGCGGCAUGUCAUCUUAAAAUUUACGAAGUCACCGUAGGCGCCUCGUCGUCGACGGGAAUGUCUCCUCCCACUGAAAGCACAUCACCAGAAAUCCUUAAAUAAAUCCAAGAAUAAUGCCACCACCAGACUUGAACCCUGGUGGGCUGGGGAUACCACAGUCCCUCUAACCAUCCAACCACAUGUUGGUUCGCGUAUACGCAUUUUUAAUUGGUUGUUCGUUCGUCAUGUAGGGUAAUCCAAUUUUUUACCCUGCAAAAACAAAUCCAUUUUUUAGUGGUCUUUACAUUUUCUAGUGGUGCCCUGUGAAAUACUACAACAAUCAUCAUAGAUGCAACCAACGACUGCUACUCUGCCUGAAUUGGUGCCACUUUUAAUGUUUCAUAAAUAGUGCCAUGUGAAAAACCGGACGUCCGAAAAAACCAUAGCAGUCAUUGAUCAUAGGUGCAGAUGCACGGAGACGUAAGCAUUAUUAGAGGUUUCACAUAGAUACUCAUGGUAAGGGCGUCUACUCCCUCCGUUCCAAAUUACUCGUCAUAGAAAUGGAUGUAUUUAGAACUAAAAUACAUCUAAAUAUAUCCAUAUGUAUGACAAGUAAUUCGGAACGGAGGGAGUACAAUGCAGACGCUAAGGACGGACGCCAGGUUCCGAAUCCUACUCGAUUUCAGCGAUUCCCGUCCAAUCCCAGGAAAACCGUUGGCGUCGAUGCCAUAUCAUUUGCCGGGUGCUCCAGCCCUUUUUUCAUACAGAUUAAACUGGUCCGAAGGCGGGCGCUUAUAACUAUUGGCGUUGUACACAAAGGCUCCAAGGCAGACGGCAGGUUUAAAAUUCCUUUUUUUUAUUUUCCUCAAGCACUUUGGAAGUGCCUUGCGUUGGAGAUGCCCUAAUGAAAUUGUGCGAUUAUUUUGUAGGAAAAGAGUAAAAGUACAUCAGAACCAAACUAAAAUUCCUUUCUUUCUGUUGGGGCAAAAUAAGCCAUGCUCUGCCGAGCUGACCGAGGUAGGGCGCGCCGGGUCUGGUCCGGCAAAGGUGUGGGCGUGUGCGUGUGUGUGAGUUCAGUUAUAACAAAUACAAGGCGUUGGAGCGCCGGUGCAUUCGUUGCACACAAAACAAACUCGAGUCUCCUGUCCAUCGUCUACCUUUGAGCGAGAGUAACCAGACAGAGAGAGAGCCACCCAUCACUUGGUAUACAGAGCUUUGUUGUGAUCCUACCCGCAGCGAUAUCGCUCGCCCCGUACGCAGGCGGAUCGGGGAGCUCGCUGCCUAUGUCCGUCCCCAUGCUCACUGGUGACAACUACACCACGUGGGCGAUCAAGGUGGAAGCCAACCUCGACGCGGCCGGGCUGUGGGAGGCGGUCGUUCCGGCGGAGGAUGCAGCAGCUGCGGUCAUCGCGAAGAACAAAACAAACUCGAGUCUCCUGUCCAUCGUCUACCUUUGAGCGAGAGUAACCAGACAGAGAGAGAGCCACCCAUCACUUUCCAACGGGAUUCUAACGGAACGGGGGUAAAAGUUUAUCUUCCAUUCUUGUAUGUCCGCCAACACCUAUGCAAUCUAGUGUGUAUAAUAAUCAAAUCUACUCUGCAUGACUCGCUAGAUUUUUGAUAAAUGAAUUUUUGGCUGCUUGUAGAAAGUGUCUUCCUUGUUUGCUGAUGAUGCAGCAACAUGGAUGGUAGCUGUACGCGAUAUCUAUUUUAUGUGUGGUUCUGGGGUCUCUACUUUAUUUGUUAUGCCUAAUCCUGCCCUUCUUUUUGCAGGAAUAAUACUUGUAUUACUCAAUUAUCAGGUCCUUACAAUCCUCUUGGACAAACUUCAAAACAUCCUCAGGGCCCGAACCAACCCACGUAAUUGUUUGACCCUCUACUCUAGCAAAACUAGCUUGUUACUUCAUGCCAAUUCUUAUUCUACAAUAGGCUCUAUUAUAAUGAGAAGGGGAAGAAUGGGUUCACAAACAUCUUGUUAUGUUUAGACAAAAAAAAAACACUGUUCUGAACUUGUUAUAAUGUAACUGGAAGACCUACUUAUGUGGGGUUCGACCUGGUAACGGAAAUCGUAGCCUGCAAUCCUCUGAUUGGUGAAAGAUUUUACCAAGCACAUAUGAACGAUUAAACCUGAUACUGUUUCCACUCAUCCUCUUGUUUCAGUUUCGGGUUAUUAUUUUUGUUGGCAGUUAGUUUCAGUUUUGUUUUUGUUCCAUUUGUCCUGCCUGUACCAGCACAAUGGUUUACUUUAAACCUUGUAUGGUUUGUUUUAACAGAAUAUAUGCUGCAAAUAGCUGUUACGUGCAAACAAUAAGAAAAGGAGUCUGCGGCAUGGGGAAUCACAUGCAAAUGUUUUCGUAGUCAGUCUUGCUAAAUCUCAGUCGACUAAUGUUUGCUGUCAAUGGCACAACACCACAGUGGACGCCCGACCAGAUAGAUAGUACAUGCAACAAGUAGCUAGCAGCCUAAGUUGAACCCUCAACCUACAAAAGACAGCGGCCACAAGAUCACACUAUGGAGCUUUUUCAACUGAGACUUGAUUAUUUAUAAGGAACAAGGUAGCAUGAAUUCUAACCAGACUGUGCCGGAAGACAAAACUGUCACAGGCGGUCACACUCACCUCAUGUGAAGACUUGGCCAGCCAAGCAAAUGGACUAUUUUCCGUUGUAGCAAAAUGCAGCCAGCUUUCAGACGGGAACACGAUUUGAUCUAGUUAAUAGCUCCUAAACUGAAUGUCCUCAUCCGCCAACAACUUGCAUCGAACAAAAUACAAGGGUUUGACGAAUGAAGACACACCAGAAUAGGCUGCUUGGCUCAGCUAACCCGAAAGGGAGCUUAUCCCACUCAAGAAGACAAUGUUUGAACUUUGAACAAUAUUGAUUUGACUGCUGAAUCCUGAUUCAAUAUAAGUACUAUGUAGAAAAGUAACAAUCGGUAGUACACUGCAGUAAGAUCUCGCAAAUUUUACAAGUAAUGCUCCGAUUGGACUUGGCUUUCUUCUCCGAUUCAAAUUUACCAGUCUAAAAAAGGAAGAAUUUGUCAAUACUGGACCGGAAUGGUUACUGGAUCUUCUAGCACGAAUUAAAGAGGGAAAGAAAGAAUGUGAUCAUGACAAUCUGGAGGAACUGGCAACAAAGGAAUGAUCAAGUGCAUAAUAAACCGGUGCCACCAGUGCACGUAACGAAGAGUUUCUUGGUUAGCUACAAUAAUUCGCUUAUCCCAAAUUAAACGCAAAGAUGGACAGGAUCCUAUCAAGGGGAAAGGACUUGCAGAUGAAUAUUGUGUGCAGCGUGAACACAAGCUUAGGGCGACGGCCCAUGCCCCAUGGCCACCGCUAGCAGAAGGAAAACUGGCGAUCUCAGUGGAUGGAGCCUACCAUGUCCAGAACAAAGAUGCAGGCGUAGGCAUGAUUAUUAGAGACUCGGUUGGUGACUUGGUUCUUGCAUUCUACAAGUAUGUGGCUAGGUGUGAAGAUCCCUUUGAAGCAGGACUGUUGGCAGACAGGGAAGGGAUUCAGGCAGCGACCACCUAUGCAACAGGGCCGUUUGUCCUUCAAACUGACUGUUGGAAUCUGAUUAAGAUGCCGAAGAACCCGAGCCAAGACAAGUCAGGAAUAGGCCAUCUGGUUAGAGAGGUGAAGAAGUUGUUCGUGGAAGAAAGGAGGCCAUCUAGUUAGAGAGGUGAAGAAGUUGUUCGUGGUAGAAAGGGAGCUGAUCAUCAUGAAAUUAGAUAGAAGCCAGAAUAGAGUUGCAGAUUUCAUAGCUAAAUUUUCGCGCUCAGAGCAUCGUACCGACCUGUAGUUACAAGAUGCCCCUGAGAAUCUCAAAAGCCUUUUGGCUAUGGAUUGUAAACCUAUUCACUAAUCAGUAAGCUCCCAAUUUUGUCGCAAAAAAUAUAUAAUUACAAAGCAAAUCACUCUGUGAAUUAGCAAUUCAAUGCAAGCCUUGGAGUGCUAACAAGAUGAUAGGUAAAGGACGAGAAGAAUCUGUAAGUUAUGUCAGCAAACAUAUAAGAUGCAUCAGAAAUAGAUUUAGUAGGACAACUUAGAAUCUUAUAACAGACUAAUGAGAAGUCAAGCAGAAAAAUAUUGGUCAUGGGCAGCUUAAACGAAUAUAUCAGCCACGGAUAGCUUAACAACAACAACAACAACAACAAAGCCUUUAGUGCCAAACAAGUUGGGGUAGGCUAGAGGUGAAACCCAUAAGAUCUCGCAACCAACUCAUGGCUCUGGCACAUGGAUAGCAAGCUUCCACGCACCCCUGUCCAUAGCUAUCUCUUUGGUGAUACUCCAAUCCUUCAGGUCUCUCUUAACGGACUCCUCCCAUGUCAAAUUCGGUCUACCACGGAUAGCUUAAUCAAAACAAAAAUUAACAUUGGAGCGGCAUGACUAGCAAGUACUCUAGUAGUAGUAAUGAACGGCUAACUUGUGUGCAUCAUUACCCCUGUCUUACCUACAAACAUAUCAUUUCAGUGAAUUAUGCACACACACUGGUCUGCAUGAAUCAAUCCACGGAAUAUUUUGGAAGGGGAGUUCUCCCAUAAAAAAAAGAAAUGAUAAUUUGUCUAGCUCUAUUAAACUGCAUAUAUAUAGACUGAAACAACAAUGGAACAUCAUGCAGUUUUAUUUACCCUCUGUACAUGCAGCUGUUACUCUGCCAUUUUCUGUUACUAAAUUGAAACCUUCCAAAUCAGGUGAAUGAGAAAGUAAUAGUUUCAAAUGCAGAAGAACAGCACGACAUCAAUAUUUGACAUCAAAAGAUAACCAAUUUCAUACUAGAAACUCGUAUGAUGUAAAUGGAAAUAAAAAGAGUUUGACAUCUCUUAGAUUCACCCCGCAUAGGAGCUAACAAGGUGACAUCAAUAAGACAAUAAUGACCAAUUAAGGGUCCCUUGCAGAUUCUCUAUGCUUAACCAGCACUGUUCAAAGCCACAAAACCCGUUAGAAGUUCAGGGCACAAAGAGAUGGGAAGAUCAAACUGAAGCAGACAUAGACGCUAGGACACAUCCAAUCCAGUGCCACAAAACAAGAAGAUUAGGCCAUGUCCAAUACCCAAUAACCGCUUUUUAUGAAGUGCCACGCUAAGUACACUAAGCCGCAUGUAG